UAGUCGACACUUCAACAUGGCGUCCAGCUCCAGGGCCUUGUACCUUUUCAUAUUCUCUCUGGCACUAUGUCACUCAGUCAAUGCGGGGAUGAGCAACGUCGAGAAAAUUCAGCUGGCUUUCAAGCAGAUCACCACUGCGUCCGACAACCUCCGCAAGGAAACGCAGUUGAUCAACAUCAUCAAUGCUCCGCUCCAGGGUUCCAAGAUUGCUGAGGGAUUCGCUAAAAUCAUCAGCGCCAUCGCCGAGUACACGAUCAAGAUUAACGAGGGUGGCGUCAAGAACGACAACAGUCCUCUGCCAGACGCGGACGCUAAGCUCGUCGUGCAAUCCCUGACGACCUUCGUGCAGGUGCACCAGGCAUUGCUCAAUGUGGUGAUCGGCAAGCACGGCCUCCUUACUUUGAUCCCGUUCUUCGAGCCCAUCAGGUUGUCGCUGGUGUCCCUGGAAGCAACCAUAGACGCCUUCGCGUUUGCCCUCAUCGCCGAAAUCCCCACCCAGAAGCCCGCCGCAGAUGUGCAAUUCGGGUCCCUCAGUAUAACUCUCCAGGUUGCCAUCACCACCUACUCGUCGCCCAUAUUGGAAUCGAACAACCUGCAGGAGAUGAACACUACUGAGAAAAUCGUGCUGGCGUUCAAGCAGAUCACCACUGCGUCCGACAACCUCCGCAAGGAAGUGCAGCUGAUCAACAUCAUCAAUGCUCCUCUCCAGGGCUUCAAGAUUGCUGAGGGAUUCGCUAAAAUCAUCAGCGCCAUCGCCGAGUACACGAUCAAGAUUAACGAGGGUGGCGUCAAGAACUACAACAGUCCUUUGCCAGACGCGGACGCCCAGAUCGUGGUGCAAUCCCUGACGACCUUCGUGCAAGUGCACCAGGCAUUGCUCAAUGUGGUGAUCGGCAAGCACGGCCUCCUUACUUUGAUCCCGUUCUUCGAGCCCAUCAGGUUGUCGCUGGUGUCCCUGGAAGCAACCAUAGACGCCUUCGCGUUUGCCCUCAUAGCCGAAAUCCCCACCCAGAAGCCCGCCGCAGAUGUGCAAUUCGGGUCCCUCAGUGUAACCCUCCAGGUUGCCAUCACCACCUACUCGUCGCCCAUAUUGGAAUCGAACAACCUGCAGGAGAUGAACACUACUGAGAAAAUCGUGCUGGCGUUCAAGCAGAUCACCACUGCGUCCGACAACCUCCGCAAGGAAGUGCAGCUGAUCAACAUCAUCAAUGCUCCUCUCCAGGGCUUCAAGAUUGCUGAGGGAUUCGCUAAAAUCAUCAGCGCCAUCGCCGAGUACACGAUCAAGAUUAACGAGGGUGGCGUCAAGAACUACAACAGUCCUUUGCCAGACGCGGACGCCCAGAUCGUGGUGCAAUCCCUGACGACCUUCGUGCAAGUGCACCAGGCAUUGCUCAAUGUGGUGAUCGGCAAGCACGGCCUCCUUACUUUGAUCCCGUUCUUCGAGCCCAUCAGGUUGUCGCUGGUGUCCCUGGAAGCAACCAUAGACGCCUUCGCGUUUGCCCUCAUAGCCGAAAUCCCCACCCAGAAGCCCGCCGCAGAUGUGCAAUUCGGGUCCCUCAGUGUAACUCUCCAGGUUGCCAUCACCACCUACUCGUCGCCCCUCGCCAAGCUCGGGGAGACGAUGAAAGAAAUUGCGAUAUCCGCUUAGAAAGUUUUUUGCGCCAUCGUGAAUAUAUGAUAGACGGUUGUUAAUGGAAGAGAGGUGUGUGUGAUAGCCUUCUGCAAGACGAGUUUUAGUAUGUAAAUAAAUGCUGCACCAUAUGGGCCGUUUUAUCGUAUGAAAUACAGUGCAGUAAUGGCUUUUGCUCCAUUCGGAGGCGUAAAGGAAAGUCUAUCACCUUCAUGGCUGUGAUACCUAUAUUACAUGUUAGCAUAUAAUUUGUGGUAACGUCUUUUUUGCAUCUUGUCUCACAAACAAAAAACCAUCCCCUCAUGGAUAUUGUCUGAUUCCAGAUCCGGUUCUGUGAAAUCAUGACCGUAAAAACAAUUUCAUGUUAAAUAACGUCGGAAGUAUAAAAGCCGAGAACGUGAGUAGUAAGAAUGAAUCGUGUAACACAAUGAGAUACACUUAACGUUUAAUACCGCAAUACGUUACUGUUCGUGUUUCCAUGUCUCCAGUUCUCUAUUGACGACAUUCACAUAGAAGUAAUGAAGUUAAUGCCGAGUGUGUGAUGGAAUGCAUACUUCUACGUGUAUUUCCAUCAACAUAUCCUCGAUCUAUUUUAGCUGCAUCUAUUUGAUUUUUCGAAAUUCAUCGUCCUCAACCAAAGCACAUUUACUUCAUCUGUUUACUUCAUCUACUGGGAGAUAAAAAUACUUGAUGUUGAUCUUAUCUGGCUUUCUAGAGAUCUAAAGCUACAUCUUAAACUCAUAAUGCAUGGUUAAGUAAGUAAGAAAUGAGACAUGGAAUUGUUGAAAGAAUUGUUUGCUUUUAAUUAGAAUCAUAAUAAUCAUUGUGAAAAAUUACAAAAUGAGGGUGAGUGUAUUUACAGUUGCCAUGACGAUGAGGUUUUUUUAAUCACUGUUUGAUCUGAGUAAGCCUAUAUUAGCUAUAACUAUCUAAAGUGGCUUAACUGUCAUGUUUAAUUAAAUAUGUGUUUAAUACAUGGAAAUCGUAUCAUUAUAACUAUUUCUAAUUUCUUCUUUUUUAAUAAUUAUCAUACUAAUUCUUCUCUUUUUUUUUUCUUUUUUUAAAUUAUUUAUACUUAAUUUAUUUCUUUUUUUUCUUUUAGAUUUUUUUAUACUAAGUCUUUUUUUAUUGUUUUCUAUUUUGUUUAGAAUUUAAUAAAAAAAUGUAUAGAGAUUAUAGUUAAAAAUAUAAAAUUAGGAGUUAAAAAUUAAGUAUAUAUCUUAACAUAAUCUUUUGUUCAUAAGUUUAAAUAAUUAAGAUAAUUUUUUUUUACUUGAAGAAUAAAUUUCUUGUAUAAAUAAGUGUUUAAGCCUUACUAAAGCUCACAAAGUAGUGUGUGGGUUGUCUUAUAAGGGCUAAAAGGCCAUAGGCUUAUCCUCCUACAUACAUCCAAGGUGCUACAACAUAUGUAGGAUAUAUGUAUCUUCUUUCUUACAAGUACUACUUUGGAUGUUGAUUACUAUGAUUUAUAUUAAUAAAACAUGUUUUCUUUUGCAAUUUUGAAUUCACUUUAGUGUUAAAAAGACCUAGUUAGUCAAGGAUAUAUUUAAGCUCUCAAAUAUUUCUCCAAUUAUUUAUAAUAGCUUUCUAAGGUGUUAAAACUAUUUUCACCAAAUUCUUGAAAAUAUGAUUGUAAAAUAUCUUUAUUUAUUAUUGUUAUUUUUUUAUAUAAUUAAAAAAAUUGUAAUAGUUUUUAAAGAUUAUAAUAUUAUUUUAAAGCUACUUUAGUAUACAGUUAUGAAGUAUUUUAGUAAUAAAAUAAAUUUAAAUUAGUUAUUUGUUUAUUCUAUAUAUAUAAUUAAAAAAACCAUGAUGUUUCUUUUUUGUAUUUUUUCUACCUUCUAUCUAAUAUUUAUAAGUAUUUAAUAUAUUUUAAUAUGAUACAUAUGAUACAUAUGAUUUUAACACCAUGUAAGAUAAAAUCUUUAUAACUAAAUACUAAUCAUUAAAAUUUAAAAAAUAUAUCAAAUUAACUAAGGUAUUUAUUUCUAAGACUAAUUAAGACUUUAGUUUAAUGAAUUUUUACUUAAUUAGACUCGUUUAAUUUAUAAAAUCUUCUAAAUCUUAAAAAAUACUUAAAUAAUAACAUAUAUUUUUAAUCUUAAUAUUUUUAUAUUUAAACAACAUUAAAACUUGGUUUUUAAUAAUUCCACCAAUUAAUAUGCAUUGGUGGAAUUUCUAUUUUUUUUUAGUUUUUUUUAGUUCUUUUUUCUUUUUUCUUUUUCUUAAUUAUAGUUACAUUAUUAAUUUUUUUUUACAAGUCUUUGUUCUAUCUAUGUAUCUUUGAUUAUUAUUUUUAAUUUUUUUAUUCUAAAGUAUAUUUUUUAUAAUAUAAAUUAAAUAGGCUAUCAAUCUUAUAUGUAAUAUUAAUUAAAAAGAUAUCAUAUUAAAAAAAUCACUUAGAUUAGUACAAUAAAAAAAUAAUAAAAGAAAAAAAUUAAAAAUAUCAUUUAAUUGAUUUAUAAAUUAAACUUCUUUUCAUAUAAUCUUUGGUUUAAGCUUUGGUACUCUAGACACAUAUCUAUCCCCAAUUCUGUAAUGUGGCAUUUUUUUUAAACUUUGUUAUGAGUUUAAUUAAGACUCAAUGAUCAAACUCAAAUCCCUCCAAAUCAUAUUAUCUUUUAUCAAGUAUCACUCUAUAAUACAACUCAAUACUACUAAUUUUGAUAAAAUAAAUAAAAAAAGAAUAUAAUCUAAAGUUGAAAAGAAUUCCACAUUAGCCACAAUUACAAGUUGAAAAUAAUAUUACUUUGUUCAAAAUUAUAUUAUACAUAGUAUUAUUUUGCUCAAAAUCUACAAGACAAGAAUAGAAUGGAAUAGUAUAGAGAAUAAAGAUUAUACAAGUUAAUUAUAUUUGAUAUCAAUUUAAUAGAAUAAUGGUAGCAACAAAAGAAAAAAGAAGCACUUCAAUUUGGUCUUAUUAUACACUUAUGCUACUUCUAUUUAAUUAUGGCGGCUAAUUGUCUUUGCUUUAGCAACUACUUAUUAUUUUGCCUUAAUUGAUCUAACUUGGAUGUGUGGUUUUUAAAGAAGUUAGAUAUUUUUAGUUUGUCUUAUAUUCUACACUCUAAAAAUUAGUCCAAUUAGGAUGUUUGGUUCUUAUAUGAGGUGGAUAUUUUUGACAUGCUCUAGAUUGCUAUGUUUUAUUAUCAAAUUUUAAAUAGGUCAAAUAUUUCCAAUCCACCUUUAAUUAAUUGGUUUAGAUUUUUUUUGCUUUUUAGAUCUUAAUAAUCUAUAUUUUUUUCUAAGUUAAUUGAAUAGUCUAAAAUAGGCUCAUGUCUUUGUUUUAUGACCAAUCUAUUGACAAUUGCUAUUUUUACUUGGUUAUUUUUAAAACUUUUUGAUACAUAAACUUCAUUUAAUAUUGCGUGAAUUAACUUGAAUGUUGUCUUUCUUGAAAUUUUUUGUCAUUAUUUUUUUUCUAUUUAGAUUUCAACUAUUAAAAUUUUCUCAAUUUUUUUAUCUUAUCUUCUAGAUAGUGUAGUUAAGACUUGUUCUUAUGUAGGUUAGUUAUAAGCUAUUAUACUACAAUUUUUGUUGGUUCCAAUAUUUUUUAACUAUUGCUUAUUUCUUCUAAACAAUAUUAUAUCUAUUCUUUGUAAAAUUUGGAUCUUCUAUUGUUAUUGUCAUUGUCAAUGUUAAUUUUGGUGUAAUAUAUUUUUAUUUUGUUCCUUAUUUUAAGUAUCUUUCCCAAUCCUCUCACUAUGCUCUUUUAUUUCUUUUUAUUCCAACUUACUUCAUGCUAAAAUCUCAUUUAUUUUAGCAAUUCUUUUUAUUUCUAAUUUUAUUUUUUUAUCUUCUUGUACUAAAAAUAACUUCUAUCUUUCUUUCUAUAAAGGCUAUAUCUUUCACCAAAUUCUCUAAACAAAAUGGUUGAUCUAUUAUUUUUUUAAAUUUUUUUUAUAUAUCUUUUUUUUUACAAAAAUUAUCCUUUUAAAUUAAAACUUUAAUUUUUUAAAGAAAAUAUAUUUAAUUUUUUUAAUAUUUUUAUUUUAUUCUAAAAAUAAAUAUAAAAUAUUCUUAAAAAUUAGUAAAUUUUAGAUGCUUUUGGAUUUUAGAUUGAAGUUGCUACUACUAUCAUAAAGCUGAAGCUUUUUGAUACAAUCUUUUUUUUGGCAGAUCUUUCUUUCUUCCAAAGAUUUUUUUUCUUUCGAAUAUUUUUUAUCUUCUUUUUUAUCUUUAUUAGUCUAAAUAUAAAUUUUUAUGUUGAUAUGUAUCUUUUAUUAUGGUACUAUAAGUUCUUUUGGUAGACUUUGCCUAUCAAUUUCUAAUAGCCUUUGUGAAGUAUUUAAAAAAAGAAAAGAAAUAAGAAUUACUUUAUUCUUAAUUCUUCUUAGCAAAAAUAUGAUUCAAAAAAUCAAAAAAUUUAUAAUUUUAGAAUAAUAAUUCUCAUUAUAGUACCAAAAAUUAUAAUUAUUAGGUAAAAUUAGUAUAAUAAUAUUUAAAUAAAAAAUUAAUAUUAAUUAUAAGAAUAAAAAUCUAUAUAAGAAUCUCCUUAUAAUAUUCCAACUUUCAAAGACAACAUAAUAGCUAUAUUUUUACAAGUGUUCUAUAAGACUUGAAAUUCAUCAAUGUUCAAUUGUUUGGCGUAAUUGAGAUUAUUGCAACUGAUUGAUGGAUACUGUCAUGGACAUAUGCAUGUAAGCCAAUAAUUACAUGUAUAAAUAGAUGAAAGUAAGUAAAAAUAGAUAAAAGUAAGUUAAUUCUAUAGUAUUUGAUAUAGAAGCUUCAUAGAUGCUGCUUUGACUUUAUAGGUAUCUAUAAUUGACUUUUUGGGAUUAGAAAUGUGGUCAACAAGUUAGCCAUGUGCCACACAUGUUGUUAGCUUGAAGACUAAGCUAAUUAUGUGGCCCAUAUGUAAAAAAACUUGCCUUGUAAGUCAAGGCAUGUAUCCUACAAAGUCAACAUAUAUUGGAGGUUCUAUAGAAUGUUGCCACAUAGCCUCUAGUUAGAUAGUAUAUAUAGAGACAAGAGUGAAGCCUUCUUCACUCUUGUCAACUCCUUUCUUGCUUCCAAUCUAGUUUCAAGGAUCUCUAUUUUUCUUGGCUUUUGAUGAUAGCCAUUCCAAUUUCUUUCUUAAUAUAUAUAUAUCAAGUUAUUUCUAUUUUGUCAUCUUUCUAUGAGAGAAGUCUCACUUAUUUAUUUGUCUUUAUCAUGUUCUUGUCCUUGACAGAUUGACAAGAGUACACUUACAAUAUCAAAGCUUUGUCUAAUCUUGAUUAAGAGUGGAUUAUCCCAUUUUCUUGAUAAGACACAAGCAUAUUAGAAGUUAUGGAUUACCCUCUUCUAAACUACUAUUAUCUUUAGUAUUUUCUUUGUUCUCAAGUCCUUUCUUCUAUUUAUCUAGAGCGAUGUUAGACAUCUUCUCUUUUUUAAGUGUUAUCAUGGGAGAACUUACUGAAAUGAAGAGUGCAAUGGCACAAAUGUAAGAGCAAUUGAAGGAGUUAAUGCUUGCGAUGCAUCAAUUCAAUUUACCACGACAAGGAGCAACAAGAUUGGCAGGAAGUGAAGAUAUAGAAAUGAUCGAAGCUGCUUCAACAUCUGCACCAAAUUAUGUCCUUUCUUCUAUGGUGGAACGUCCUUCCAAUAUUAGAGAACCAAGAAUUACCCUAUCCGAGAAGUUUGAUGGCACUAGGUUCAAAUUUCGAGGAUUUAUCAAUCAAGUGCAACUUGUGAUUGAACUUCAACCCCAAAGCUAUCCAACUCCAGCAUCGCAAGUUAGAUUCAUUGGUAUGCUUCUUUUAGGUUCAAUACUAUCAUAAUUUUCAUCUUUUUUUGAACGACGAGAUCCAAUAUUGGAUAAUCUAGAAGCUUUUUUGGCAAAGUUUCGAUCCAUGUAUGGAGAACAUGAUGCAAUUCGUGUUGCAACCAAUAAGAUCCAUAUUUUACGAUAAGACAAUUAAUAAGUAACGUUGUAUGCUUUACAAUUUUGACAACUUGUAACUGAUAUCAAGUGGGAUGAUGCUGCAUUUAUUAGCCAAUUUCUCUAUGGAUUAUAAUAUAGUAUAAAAAAAUUAAUGCUCAACUUAUCUGAUCGUCAAACAUUGAGUUAAGCAAUUGACUUUGUUGUGAAGUGCAACAAUCACCUUUUUGAAUUUUGAUCUGAGAACUGUACAAGUGGACCUCAGUAUUACUAUAAUUCAAUGGCAACACUAAGACCUCUUCAACACAUACAUUCGGAAGUAGAGGAUAUGCAAAUUGAUGCAGUAUGUUUCAAACCUCUUACUAAGCAAGAAAAGACUCAUUGUUGUCAAAAAGGACUGUGCUUAUAUUGUGGAGAACCUAAGCAUAAUGCUUAACAUUGUUCAAAGAAGCGAUGCAACCAUAAAAUGAGGAAUACGGCGAUUAAAGAAGAUAGCAUGUCAAAAAAUGAAUUUGUCUAGCUACAAUAGGGACCGUGUGGCUAGAACCUUGUACAAUGCUUAGUAAAAGUCCUAUCCUCUCCUUAGAAUCCUCUCCAUGUUUUACAAUAAAUGUUAUUCUACGACCUAAACAUUUCAAAGCCUCUGCCUUGCUAGAUUCAAGAGCCUCAGUAUGUUUCUUAAAUGAAAACUCUGCUAAAAGAUAUAGCAUAUUUUUAGUAAAGAAAACUAAACUUGUUCAAUUAGAAGUCAUAGAUGGUCGUCCGUUGUCUUCAGGAGAUGUUACUCAUGAAAUCCUUCCUAUAGAAAUAGCAAUUAAUGGUCAUAGUAGCUUUAUAAUAUUUAAUAUCAUUAGAUCUCUUUCUAAUCCAAUCAUUUUAGGUUUAUCGUGGCUAAAAAAAUAUAAUCUUAAAAUAGAUUGGACUUCUCAUAGUCUUGACUUUUCUAAAAGUAUAACUAAGAGUGUAAUUAAUCAAGUAGAAAGUCAUAAGUCUAGUAUAAUUAAACUUAUAUUUGUAGGUACAAGUACUUUCUUGCAUGCUAUAAAAGUAGGAUCACCUUCUGUCAUUUAUGCCACACCUGUUUUUAUUGGUGGAAAGACUUCAAGUCGUAUUUUAAUCUAAUAUCAAGAUUUUCAAGAUGUAUUUGAAAAAAAGAAUGUGAAUACUCUUUCAGAACAUCGUUCCUAUGACUGCUCAAUUGACCUUCUGUCACGGAUAUACAUAUAAUUACCUACAAGAGUCGAUAAAAGUAUGUAAAAGUAGAUAAAAAUUGGUUAAUUGUACAAUAUCUUCUAGAAAAGCUUCCAAGAAUCUUCAUAGAUGCUGCUUUGACCUUAUAUGAGUCCAUAGUUGACUAUUAGGUUAGAAACUUGGUCAACAAGUUAGCCAUGUGUCACACAUGUUGGUAGCUUGAAGGACAAGCUAACUACGUAGUCCACUCAUAGAAAACUUGCCUUGCAAGCAAAGACAUGUGGCCUAGAAAGUCAACACAUAUUAGAGGUCUUAUAGAAUAUCACCACGUGGCUUCUAGUUAGAUAAUAUAUAUAGAGGCAAGAGUGAAGCUCUCUUCACUCUUGUCAACUCCUUUCUUGCUUCUAAUCUAGUUUCAAGGGUCUCUAGUUUUCUUGUAUUUUGGCAAUAGCCAUUCCAGUUUCUCUUUCAAUAUAUAUAUUUGUUUAUUUACCUCUCUUUGAGUAAAGGCUCACUUGUCUAAAUUAUUUUUCAUCGAGUUCUUGUCCUUGACACCUUCAAGAAGGAGCAUAAUCGCUAUUUCGACCAAUCUACAAGUUAUUUCAAAAUGAGUUGACUGAACUCAAGGAGUAUAUUGAAGAGAAUUUGGCCAAGAACUUCAUACGCCAUUCCAAAUGUCUAGCAGAAGCUCCAAUUUUAUUUAUGAAGAAAAAAGAUGGAUCAUUGUGGAUGUGUGUUGAUUAUCGAGGACUCAAUAAAAUCACUAUAAAAAAUAGGUACCUGCUACCUUUGUUAUCUAGACUUCUUGAUCAGUUGAAUCAAGCUAAGAUCUAUACAAAAAUAGAUCUAUAGAGAGCAUAUAAUUUGGUAUGCAUCAAAGAAGGAGAUGAAUGGAAGACUAUGUUUCGAACAAGGUAUAGACAUUUUGAAUACAACGUCAUACCUUUUGGACUUAUAAAUGCACCAGUAGCAUUCCAACAUUUAAUGAACGAUGUCUUUUAGAAGUUUUUAGAUGAUUUUGUUGUUUGUUAUUUAGACGACAUCUUGAUCUAUUCUAAGAACUCAGAAGAAUAUGAACUUCAUAUUUGCCAAGUAUUACAAAAACUAAGAGAUGCAAGACUCUAUCCCAAGAUAGAAAAGUGUGUAUUUCACACUACUUAAGUUGACUUCUUAGGAUACAUCAUUUCAAAUGAUGGACUUAUGAUGGAUCCUAAGAAAGUUCAAACUAUUAUAGAUUGGAAGAUCCUAAAAAUGGUAAGAGAUGUCCAAUGCUUUUUGGAAUUUGCCAACUACUAUCGGAUCUUCAUCAAAGACUUCUCUCAAGUUGCAGUUCCACUUAUAUGUUUGACUUGCAAAGAAAAACUUCAAUGGAAUCAAGAAGCAAAAGUAACAUUUGAAGCUUUGAAGACAGCCUUUGUUUCUGCAUCAAUCUUGUAUUGUGUCAAUUUUUCUAAGCCAUUUUUUAUGGAAACAAACGCAUUAGACUUUGCUUUGGGUGCCGUAUUGUCACAAAUAGAAACAGAUGAUAAACUUCACUCAAUAGCUUUUCAUUCUAGAAAAUUUUUAGCAGUUGAGAUCAACUACGUGUCACGGACAUACACAUGUAAGCUAAUAAUUACAUGUAUAAAUAAGUAGAAGUAAAUAAAAGUAAAUAAAAGUAAGUUAAUUCUAUAGUAUUUGAUAUACAAGCUUCCUAAAAGCUUCAUAGAUGCUGCUUUGACUUUAUAGGUAUCUUUAAUUGAUUUUUUGGAUUAGAAACAUGGUCAACAAGUUGGCCAUGUGCCACAUAUGUUAUUAGCUUGAAGACCAAGCUAAUAAUAUAGCCCACACGUAAAAAAACUUGUCUUGUAAGUUAAGGCAUGUAUCCUACAAAGUCAACACAUAUUGGAGAUCCUAUAGAACAUCGCCAUGUAGCUCCUAGUUAGAUAGUAUAUAUAGAGACAAGAGUGAAGCCUUCUUCAUUCUUGUCAACUCUUUUCUUGUUUCCAGUCUAGUUUCAAGAGUCUUCAUGUUUUCUAGUCUUUGGCAAUAGCCAUUUGAGUUUUUCUUUCAAUAUACAUACUUGUUUAUUUAUAUUUUGUUACCUUUCUUUGAGUGAAGGCUCACUUGUUUGAAUUGCUUUUUUAUCGAGUUCUUGUCCUUGACAGAUUGACAAGAGUAGACUUACAAUAUCAAAGCUUUGUCUUUUCUUGAUAAAGAGUGAAUUACUUCUUUUUUUUGAUAAGAUAUAAGCACAUUAAGAGUUGUGGAUUACCCUCUUUUAAACUGAUAUUAUUUUUAGUAUUUUCUUUGUUCAAAAGUCCGUUCUUUUACUUGUCUUGAGCAAUAUUAGAUAUUUUUUUUUGUAGGUGUUACGAUGACAAAGCUUGUCGAAUUGAAGAGUGCAAUGACACAAAUGCAAGAACAACUGAGGUAAUUAAUGCUUGUGAUGCAUCAACUUAAUUCACCAACAGAAGGAGGAAUAAGAAUAACAGAAAGUGGAGAUGUAGAGAUGGUCAGAGUUGCCUCAACAUCUACAUCGAAUCAUGCCCCUUCUCCCAUGGUGGAACUUAAUUCAAAUGCUAGAGAAUUAAGAAUUACCUUACCCGAGAAAUUUGAUGGUACGAGAUCAAAGUUUUGAGGAUUCAUCAAUCAAUUAUAAUUAACAAUCAAACUUCAACUCGAAAGCUAUCCAACUCCAAGAUCACAAGUCAGGUUUAUUGGAACACUACUUUUCGGUUCUACAUUAUCAUGGUUUUUAUCUUUUCUUAAAUGAAAAGAUUCAAUAUUGGAUAAUUUAGAAGCUUUCUUGGUGGAAUUUUGAUCUAUGUAUGGAGAACAUAAUACAGUUCAUGUUGCAACAAAUAAGAUCCGUAUCUUGCUAUAAAAAAAUCGAUCUGUAACAAGAUAUGCUUCACAAUUUUGAUAACUUGCGAUUGAUACCAACUGGGAUGAUGUUGCACUCAUUAGUCAAUUCUUUUAUGGACUAUAAUAUGAGGUAAAAAAAUUGAUGCUCAAUUUAUCCGAUCCUCAAACAUUGAGUCAAGCAAUUGAUUUUGCUAUAAAAUAUGACAAUAAACUUUUUGAAUUUUGAUCUGAGAGUCACAUAAGUAGGCCUCAACAUUAUUAUAAUUCAAUGGCAACACCUACGUCUUCUCAACACAUAUCUUCAGAAGUAAAAGAUAUGCAAAUUGAUGCAAUAUGUUUCAAACCUCUUACUGAAUAAGAAAAGACUCAACAUCAUCAAGAAGAAUUAUGUUUAUAUUGUCGAGAAUCAAAACACACUGCUCAAUAUUGUCCAAAGAAACGACAUAACCACAAAAUGAAGAGUAUGGAUGUCAAAGAAGACAAUAUGUCAAAAAACGAGUUUGUCCAGCUGCAAUAGGGACCGUACGGCUAGAACCUUGCACAACAUCUAGUAAAGGUCCUAUUCUCUCCUCAGAACCCUCUCUUUGUUUUACAUUAAAUGUUAUUUUAGGACCUAAACAUUACAAAGCCUUUGCCUUGUUAGAUUCAAGAGCCUCAAUGUGUUUCUAUGAUGAAGAAUUUACUAAAAAAACAUAGCAUAUCUUUAGUAAAGAAAACUAAACCUGUUCAUGUAGAAAUCAUAGAUGGUUGUCCACUGUCUUUUGGUGAUAUUACUCACAAAACCCUUCCUAUAGAAAUAAUAAUCAAUAGUCAUAAUAGCUUUGUAGUAUUUAAUAUCAUUAGAACUCCCUCUAAUUCAGUCAUUUUAGGUUUAUUGUGGUUAGAAAAAUACAAUCCUCAAAUAAAUUAGAUUUCUCGAACUCUUACUUUCUCUAAAAGUAUAACUACCAGUGUACUUAAUGAAGUAGAGAGUAAUAAGUCUAGUUCAAUUAAACCCGUGUUAUUAGGUGCAAAAGCUUUCUUGCAUGCUACUAUGAAAGAAUCACCAUAUAUUAUUUAUGCUACACUUAUUUCUACUGGUGGAAAGACUUCAAGUGGCAUUCCAAGCCAAUAUCAAGAGUUUCAAGAUGUAUUCAAAAAAAAGAAUGUCGAUACACUCCCAGAUUAUCGUCCCUAUGAUUGCUCAAUUGAUCUUCAAGAAGGAGCACAACCACCAUUCAGACCAAUCUAUAGUUUAUCAUAAAAUGAGUUGAUUGAACUCAAAGAGUAUAUUGAAGAAAAUCUAGCCAAGAAUUUCAUAUGCCAUUCUAAAUCUCCGGUAGGAGCUCCAAUUCUAUUUGUGAAGAAAAAAGAUGAAUCAUUGCACAUAUGUGUUGAUUAUCCAAGACUCAAUAAGAUAGCCAUCAAGAAUAGAUAUCUACUACCUUUAAUAUCUAGACUUCUUGAUUAAUUGAAUUAAGCAAAGAUCUACACAAAAAUAGAUCUCCGAGGAGCAUACAAUCUAGUAAGCAUCAAAGAAGGAGAUGAAUGGAAGUCUGCAUUUCGAAGUAGGUAUGGAUAUUUUGAAUACAACGUCAUACCUUUUGGACUUAAAAAUGCACCAGCAGCUUUUGAACAUCUAAUGAAUGAUGUUUUUUGAGAGUUUUUGGACGAUUUUGUGGUCUGUUAUCUAGACGACAUCUUGAUCUAUUCUAAGAAUCCAGAAGAAUAUGAACUUCAUGUUCGUCAUGUGUUACAAAAAUUAAGAGAUGUGGGACUCUAUGCCAAGAUAGAAAAGUAUUUAUUCCACAAUACUCAAGUCGAUUUCAUAGGUUACAUCAUUUCAAAUGAUAGACUUUUGAUAGAUCCUAAGAAAGUUCAAACUAUUAUAGAUUGAAAGAUUCCAAAAAUGGUAAGAGAUGUCCAAUGCUUUUUGGGAUUUGCCAACUACUAUUGGAUCUUCAUCAAAGACCUCUGUCAAGUUACAGCUCCACUAACACGUUUGACUUGUAAAGACAAACUCCAAUGAAAUCAAGAAGUGGAAGUUGCUUUUGAAACUUUCAAGACCGCGUUUGUUUCUGUACCAAUUUUUUGUCGUGUUAAUUUUUUCAAAGCAUUAUUUAUGGAAACAAAUGCAUCAGACUUUUUUCUAGGUGCGGUUUUGUCACAAAUGGGAACAAAUGACAAACUUCAUCCAGUAGCCUUUCAUUCAAAAAAAUUCUCAGCAGCAGAAAUCAAUUAUGAGAUCCAUGACAAAGAACUUCUUGCGAUUGUGGAUUCUUUUCAAGAAUGGCAUCAUUAUCUAGAAGGCGCUUCCAGUCCAGUCACCGUUGUCAUAUUGUGACACGAGUUUACCCUAAAAAUAUAAAGAAAGGGGACUUUUAUUAAUGUUCAGUUAUUUCGAAUAUUGGGAGCAACGACUGAUUCCAGUGCCAAUAUUCAGGGGCCGGUUCAGACACCCCAUCAUAGUCGGUUAGAGCAUACUUACCAGUAACGAAAUACUCCAUUCGAGUCCAAUAGUAGGAGUCAACAGAAUCGAAAGGACUAAAUUGAUGACUGAGCAAGCUUGACGUGAAGGACCAAUUUGAUCCAAUUAUAGGAACAUCCAAGUCUUACUAUGGGCCUCUUAGCCAAUAUGAGACCUGAUUUGGUCGGGCAACUCAAUGUAGUCCCAAUUACAGGGGUUUCGAUUCCGUUUCAGGUUGUCCUGUUCUCUGUGCCGUUUCAGGGAACGUUGUUUCUGAAAAAAUAACCUUUUAAAAGGCAAAAAAUGGAGGAGAAAGCUCUGACGGCAGAGCGAAUUCCGGAUCCAAGAUGGAAGAUUGAAGAAAUUUAGAGGCUAGGGUUUAAAAGAGGGAGGAGAAUUAGGAUUUUAAGGGUCGGAGAGCUAGUUUCAUGCUUCGAGGAGGAGAGGGGGGGAGAAAAGACAAAGAAUUGGGAUUUUUUUUUCAUAGGGUUUUGGGAAAGACGGAGGUAAUCAUUGCUAAAAGUCAGUGUUGUAUUGGUGAACUGGAUUUUUUUUCUGAAAGAGAGAAAAAAAAAAAAAAAAAAAAAAAAAAAAAAAUCGAAAAUGGUUAAGGUGGAGGAGAGGAUUCAGAGAUUCGGGAAUGAGGGAGGUUAAGAAAAAAGUAGGAUACAAGGUUUUUGAGUAGGGGUCAGAAAAGGGACUUCUAGCGAUCAAUGCUGAAAGGUCGAUGUGUUGUACUGGUGAAUCAGGGUUUUAAUGAAGUGGGUGUGAUUACUCUUGACUGUUUUGUGAAAUCGAAAUUACAUCUAUGAUUGAAGAAUUAAAAAGGUGUCUAUAGGAUUGAGUAUGUAGAGUGAAUAAAAAUUUUUGGGUUAAUCUAACAAGACAGUCAGUGGAUACAAGGUCGUGAGUAUAAAGCGGUAUCGAAGAUUAGCAGAUUGGGUUGUUCGGGGUUCUCUGUAACGUCUAGAGACCUACCAGUUGGGACAAAAAGGAUUUUGGCGAGCAGUCGAAGGACAUCCAUAUAGAUUUAUGAUAUAUUCUUGCAAUCGUUUAUAUUCCAACAGUCAAAAACCGAUAGACUGCUUGAAUAUUAGCGAAUCUCCAUACUACCUUCUAUAGCCAGAUGUCCAGUGCGUUCUCGAGCAGAAAAGCACGUAAUACAACACCGUAUAUACGGAUCACAAGAACCUCGAGUAUUUCAUAUCAACAUGCAUAUUAAAUCAUCGUCAAGCUUGUCGGAGCAUGUCUUUAUCAAGAUUCGAGUUCAUCAUCACUUAUUGGCUAAGAAAACAACAAGAUUUGUCUGAUGCCUUGUCCAGAUGUUCUUAUCUUGCACCAAAAGAAAGAGAUGCAGCUUUUGAGCAGCAAAGAACAGUUCUCGUGAAGCCUGAGCAAUUUCAUCUUUAAGCAAUGAAAUCAAUAUUAACUAUUAAUUCAACUUUCAUUAAGCAAGUUCAGUGAAGUAUGUUUUCUUAUCUUCUUAUUCAUGAUAUGAAGAGAAAUCCUUUAAAGUCUCAUCAUACUUCCAAGUUUGAAUUCAAGAAGAAUCUACUAUAUUUUGAGAGACGCCUAUAUAUUCCAGAAGGUGAAGCUUGAUUACGUGUUCUUCAAGCUUGUCAUGACUUUUCAAUAACAGGACAUUUUGGAUAUAAUAAAACUUUGGAACUAAUAUCAAAGGAUUUUUGGUGGCUACAAAUGUGGAAAGCAGUCAAAGAUUUUGUACAAACUUGUGAUGUUUGCUCAAGAUCAAAAACUCCUCGUUAUCGACCUUAUAGACUUCUUCAGCCAUUACCCAUUCUAGAACAACCAUGGUCUUCUAUUUCUAUGGAUUUCAUUACAAAUCUUUCAAUCUCAGGUUCUUAUGACUCUAUAUUCGUGAUAGUAGAUCGUUUUACUAAGAUGGCACAUUUUGUACCAUGUACAAAAUCUAUCAUAAGUAAAGAAACAGCUAAGCUCUUUCUUGACAAUAUUUAUUUCUAUUAUGGAUUAUCCAAGGAUAUUAUAUCAGAUAAGGGAAUUCAAUUUGUAUCAAGAUUUUGGCAGAUUUUUUUCAAGAUUCUAAAAGUGGAUAUAAAACUAUCUUUGGUAUUCCAUCCUCAAAGUGAUGGACAAACAGAGCGUGUUAAUCAAGUUUUGGAGCAAUAUUUAAGAUGUACCAUUAACUACCAACAAGAUGAUUGGACAACUCUUUUGCCAUUGGCAAAGUUUGCUUACAAUAAUACGGUACAUUCUUCUACAAAAUAAAUACCUUUUUUUGUUAAUUAUGUUUAUCAUCCACGACUUGAUACUUUUGACUUUUCAAAAGUUGAUAAUUUUGUUGCAAAAGAUUUGGCAAUUCAUUUGUCAGAGCUACAUGCAACGAUGAAGGUGCAAUUAAAAGAAGCUCAAGAACAAGAAAAGGUCAAUGCGAAUGUCUAUUGAAAUAAAUAGCCAUCAUUCCACAUGGGUGAUAAGGUAUGGUUACUUCAUCAUAAUAUCAAGACCACUCAUCCUUGUGACAAGUUGGACUAUCAAAGGCUUGGACCAUUUUCUAUUUCUAUAUAAAUCAAUCCAGUUGCAUAUCGUUUACAUCAAUCGAAGUCAAUGAAAAUCCAUGCAGUAUUUCACGUGUCUCUUCUUGAACCAUACAAGAUAUUGGACAUAUCAAGAAGAAGACAAGUUCCACCUCUUCCUAUAAAACAGGACAAUAAUGAAGAAUUUCAAGUAGAAGAAGUCUUAGAUUCAAGGCGGCCUCGAAAAAAAUUGGAAUAUCUUGUCCAUUGGCGCAGAUAUGUUAUUAGUGAAUGCACAUGGAAGCUAGUAAAGAAUCUUACAAAUGCAGCAAAGCCAGUGGAGUCUUUUCAUUGAUGACAUCCAUCAAAAUCAAGAUAAAAAUCUUUUUUAUAAAAGAAACAAGAUCUAAGCAAGAUAACAUUCUAUUUUCAAUCCUUUUUUGUAGCUUCUUUGUAGUUGUGAUGCUCAAGAAAUGGAGAACCAUCAACCAACAGAUUUGACUCAAGAACCUUCGUUUGUUGAUCUGUCAGAUGAGAUAUUACGAUUGUCACAAUCUUCAAGAUGAUGUAAUCGAGAUGAAGAUCUUCAAGAAUGACAUGUUCUUCCUUGAAUAGAUGGCGAGAUAUAAUGCGUUUGGUAUUACGACCUUGAAAGGGACUCCUGAUGUAUGAUGAUUUUAUUAGAGGUAAGAACAAUUCCUGAUGGUGUUCCAAAUGUUUUAUUCGAAGGAAGUUAUGAAGGCUUCAACAAUGAUCAAAUAAUUGGGUGGUCUUUCCGCCCUGAUAUGGGAUAUUACCGAUGGUUGAGAGGCCCUAUCAAUCAUCUUCGAAGAGAACAAAGAUCAGAGUAUGUGGCGAAUUUAAUUUGUCACAUCAUAGAUUUUUUCAACAUAUGAUUACCACUCCUCGUGGAACUCGUCCCUAGAAGGGGGGGCAAUGUCACGGACAUAUACAUGUAAGCCAAUAAUUACAUAUAUAAAUAGGUAGAAGUAAGUAAAAGUAAAUAAAAGUAAGUUAAUUCUACAGUAUUUGAUAUAGAAGCUUCCUAAAAGCUUCAUAGAUACUGCUUUGACUUUAUAGGUGUCUUUAAUUGACUUUUUGGGAUUAAAAAUGUAGUCAACAAGUUAAUCAUGUGCCACACAUGUUGUUAGCUUGAAGACCAAGCUAAUUAUGUGGCCUAUACAUAAAAAAACUUGCCUUAUAAGUCAAAGCAUGUGCCCUACAAAGUCAACACAUAUUAGAGGUCCUAUAGAACAUCGUCACGUAACUCCUAAUUAGAUAGUAUAUGUAGAGAUAAGAGUGAAGCCUUCUUCACUCUUGUCAACUCCUUUCUUACUUCCAGUUUAGUUUCAAGGGUCUCUAUUUUUUUUGGCUUUUGGUAAUAGCCAUUCCGGUUUUUUUCUUAAUAUAUAUAUAUAUAUAUAUAUAUAUAUAUGUGUAUCAAGUUAUUUCUAUUUUAUCAUCUUUCUAUGAGAGAAGUCUCACUUGUUUAUUUGUCUUUAUCAUGUUCUUAUGCUUGAUAGAUACUCACUUAAUUUUCUAACUUAAGAUCGAAAAAAAUUGAAUUAGUAUAUUUUUCCAUAUAUUAAAGUAUAUAUAUUAAAGUGGCAUUCUCAACUAAGACAUUCUUUUUUCAAUUACAUGGAACUAAAAAUUUCAAUUAAACAAAAUUAGAUUAAAAAUAUGGUAUUGAUAAAGGUGGAUCUUAUCGUAGUAGCAACUUGUGAGUAUAUAAAUGUGCUUGUUUUAAAUACAAACUAUAAAUUUAAGACCAAUAAAUUAAUUAUAUUAAAGAAUAUUGAAAUUUUAUUGGAUUAGGAUUUCAAAUAUGUAAUUUUUGGGAUCACCCAAGAUUUUUUAUGAUCUUGAAAAAUCUAUCAAUUUGAUUGAAGUAAAAUUUUGAUAGAGCAUAGUGAGUUUAGGCUUCUAUAAUUUUGCUAAUUUUGAAAGUUUAAUGAAGAGUAAUUACUACUAAAACAUUGACAUCAAGGUUGAAGAAGAAAGAUAGUUAACAUCUAAAAGAAUUAAAAGCCCUUUUUCUUAAUUAAUAAUUUUGAUUUUUUUAAAAUUUUGUUUACUUAUUUUUGUUUUAAAGUUUGAAAUGUAUAAAAACUUUUAAUUAAGAUUAACAUUUUAACUGAUAGUUAUUGGAAUUUUAAAAAUAUUAUAAUAAUUUGAUUAGGAUUUAUUUAAGAUUUGGUUAUGAUAUUUUAAAGAUUCGAUUAAAAUUCAAUUAAGAUUUGGUUAUAAUACAUUUAAAUUUUCAUUAAGAUUUUAUUUCGAUUUAUUUAGAAAUUAAUUAAAAUUUGAUUAUUAUUUGAAUAGGAUUUUGUUAGAAAAUUAUUAAGAUUUAUUUAAGGUUUGAUUAAGAUUUAAUUAAAAUUUGUUUAGAAUUUUCUUAGAAUUUAUUAAAGAUUUUUAAGAGUUUUUUAAAGUAUUUUUAAAAUAUUUCUUUAGAAUUUAUAUUUAUAGUAUUUCUUUAAUAUUUUAUUAUUAUUUACUAGAAUUUUUUUAUUCUUUUUAUUGGAUUAUUUUUUAAGCUCUUUUUAUGAUUUAUUUAUAUUUGCUUCAAGAAGUUCUUAUGAUUUCUUUAUGAUUCUUUUUAGAAUUUCUUUAUAAUUUUCUUAAAGAUUUAAUUAGAAUUUAUUUAAGAUUCUAUUGGAAUUACAAAGACUUUAUUGUUGCAAUUUAGAAUUUAUCUUUCACAACCAAGUUCUUGAUGCAUUCUCAAAGAAGAGAACACAUCAUACAUUACUCUGCUCUAAGAUUCUAUAAUGUAUUGCUAGAUUUUUUGCUCUGUUGUAAUCUUGUUGUAGUUCUAUUAGGUGGCGCUUCUAGUAGCUAGUACUUUGUAGUCAUAACAAUAGUAGUUUUAAAUCUUUUUUUUUUGCUAUGGUUUCUUUUGUUGCUAUUUUGAAGGUGAGGCUAAUCAUAAUUUAGUACAUUUUACAACUAGUUGAGUGCAAGUCAACAUAUUGUGGUUGUUAAUGUAAUUUUAUUUUUUAUAGAAUAACAUUUGAUAAUAGACUAAAGAUAAGUUCUUUGAGUAUUUAUUUUGAAUGAUUUGAAUUUUUAUUGACUUUUUAAAGACUUUACAAAGUCAAGAUUGUUUUGGAAUUACUUUGGAUUUUGAGAGAUAUAAAGAGUCAUAUUUUUAAAAAAAUUCUAAGAUUGGUUAUUAAUCUACAAGUAAAAUUUUGUGAUUGUAUUACUAAUAGUAUUUUAAAUUUGUGUUGUAAGUUUGAGCUUGAUCUAAUGAUUUAUUCAAAGGUUAUUGAAAUUCAAACAUACUAGAAUCUUGAAAAUUAAUGUUUAAAAGAUUAGUGAGCAUUUUUGCAAUAUACAAUAAUUUUCUAGCUCGAUUGAGUUAAAAUUUUGUAUAUUAUUAUUUGAUUUGAUUUUAAAUAACUUUUUAAAGUUUAAAAGAAAUUAAAUAGUUCAAUUUAGAGAUAUUUGUGCUAAGACAUUGGCAUCAAGAUUGAAAGAAGAAACCAAUCAACAUCCAAGGAGAUUUUAGGAUUUAUCUUUUAUUUGGAAAAUUCAAAUUUGGAAUUUUUCAAAGUUUUUAUGCUUAUUUUCAACUUAGUAAUUAAAAGGUGUGAAAUUUUUGAGUUUAGAAAAAUAACUAGAUUUUUAGUUAUUGAGGUUUUAAUUUGUUUUAGCAUUGGUUAAGAAUUUAUUUAAGGUUUAAAUUUUGAUUAGGAUUUUAUUAAGAUUUGAUUUAGGAUUUAAGAUUUGAUUUAGAUUUGAUUUAGAAUUUAAGAGUAUUUAGGAUUUGAUUAAGAUUUGGUUUUGAAUUUUGGAUUUAAUUAGAAUUUGAUUUAAGAUUUAAUAAUUUUAUCAAGAUUUAAUUUAUAAUUUAUAAUUUGAUUAAGAAUUAUUUAGAAUUAUAUUAAAAUUUAUUUAAAUUUUGUUUUGGAUUUAUAUUUUUAAUAUUUACUUAAGAUUUCUUUGAUAUUUCUUAAGAUCAUUUUUAUAUAAAUAUUUGUUUAAGAUUAAUUUAUGAUUUUUUUAUGUUUCUUAAGUAAUUUCUUUAAGACUUCUUUUAGAUUUGAUUAAAAUUUGAUUAACAUUUUUAAAAUUUAAUUGGAGUUUUUUUAGGUUUCUAUUAGAGUUUUUAAAACCUUGUUGUUGCAAUUUCUUUUUUAUUUUCUAUAGCCAAGUACCUAAUGUAUUCUCAAGCUAAAUUCACAAAAUAUGACAAUUGAUUAUUUAAUAUGACCAAUAUUGAUGUUGAGAGGAUGUAGUAGCAAGGCUCCUAUUUUUAACAUCAAUAUUUUGGAUAGAUUCUACUAUAUGGAAGCCAUUAAAAUUUUAGCAUUAUUAAUCAAAUUUGGCAAUAAGCUACAAUCUAAAUUUUUGAACCUUUUCUUAUCAUUUCUUACUAUCUAUGCACAUCUUCUUAAGGUAACCAACAUCUACAUGAAUUUCAAUCAAGCAAUGUGUUGAAAAUGUGAUCCUUAAUUCUUUUCAAUACUUUGAAUAAAGUACAUUAAAGCCAAAAUUAAGUAAUUAGACAAAAUUUAUUGAGAUGAUAUUAUAAAGAGUCAUGCUUUGAUGAAGUUUAUGAUGGAUGAAAAUUAAAGCCUAUAUGAAUUUAGGAUUGAUGAAAUAUUUUUUACAAAUGAAACAUGAUUAGAAGAUGAAUUUUGUUAAUAUAUGGAAAUUUUUAGAUUUAAUUGAGAUUAUAUGUAUGAGUUUUUAUUAAGCUUUUUGAAUCAAGUUGGAUUAAAUAAAAAUAAUUAAUGAGGUACUUAACAAAGAUUAAAAAAAUAGUGGCAAUUAAUUGAGUUUAUAAGUUAGUUAAAUUUUCUUGAUUAAAAUAAGCUACCAAUUAAUGGAGUUUUUAUUUAGCUUAUAAAGGUUGUGAAGGCAAUACCUUUGUAGAUAUAGGGGCUAUGAUUAAAAUUAUUUUUUUGUUUUUAGAAUUUUGUGAAAACUUCAUAUGAACAUCACUAUGUUGUAUAAUAAAUAUACUCACUAGUAAAAUCAAAUUUUUGUAUGUAUUUUUUAUUGGAUAUAACUUUAAUUUUUAAAUAAAAUACUUAUAUUGUAUGUUUUUUUUAUUAAAUUCUAUGUAUUCUUUGUGUGCACAUUUGUAAUCCAAUCUAGUAUUAUAUGUUGCACUCAUUGUACAAUUGGCCAUUUCAUCUGUAAUAUAGGUUGUUUUUUCUCCUGAUUGGUUGAUGUAGAUAUGAUUUAUCCUUAGAUUAUAUUCUUUUUUUAUCUUAACUAUACUCCAUUUUUAAUUAUUAAUAUAAUCAUAUGUUUUUUUAAUUUUCUAAAUCAUUUUUUUAUAGAUUUAAUCUUAAAUAUACAUAGCAAUUAGAACCACUUUUAGAUAGUUAAAAAAAUAUAUUAUAUAAAAAUAAUAUAAUAAAAAAUAUUCUUCUAAAAUAAGAAGCUAUAAAUAAUUUAAAAAUUUAUUGUAAAUCAUCAAGAUUACAUUUUAUACAAACUAUAAAAAAUUUCACAUCAUAUUAAUUUUGAUACAAACUUUUAAACUUUAUAUUAGUAAUUUUAGAGAUUAUAUUAUGAGAUUUUGGCCAUAACAAUUUAAUAUUUUGCUUUUUUAUAUAAGAAUUUUUUCAUAAUUUUUAAGUAGUAGAUAGUAGGAUAUUGAUUUAGUAAUCACAAUGAGACCUAUAAAGUCUUUAGUUUUUGAAGCAAGUGAAUAAGUCUUAGAGUGAGAGAAAGAAUUAUUUUUUGGGUUUUUUUUUUUUUUUUUUUUUUUUUUUUUGCAAAAACAGGCUUAAGUGCUGCACAUGAAACGAAGAAGAAGAUUGAAGAAGAAACCAUUGUGAUGCAAUUUGAUGGAACUAAAAUUACAAUACCAUGGUAAAAUCAGCUUUCUUUUCUACAAUAUCAUUGUCAUAUGGCAUGUUUUUCUAUUUGGAAAUAUACUAGGUAUCUAGGUGUAGAGAGCUUAGCUUUAACUUAUUGGCCAAGCUCCAAUAAGUGAUUUAUACUUAUUAUAAAAGAUAAAUAAAUCCAGAAAUAUAAAAAAUUAUCCUAUUAAUAAAAACCUUUUAUAUUAAAGAAUAUUUGUACAUAAGGCUUUCUAAAGCCUUUAGAAAUGCCCUAAUAUUUUGUUGUACCGAAUCAUAUCUAACUAUUUGCCAAAAAUUUGGAUUUUUUAAAAAAGAUUAUGGAUUUUUUUAAAAAAAUCUAACUUAGCAUUUAUCUUUAAACUUUACCAAAAAAAAUAAAAUAAAAUAAAAUAAAAAAUUGUAAAUCUACUACAAAUCAUUUAAUAUCUUAAAAAGCCUAGCAGAUACUCUAAACCCUAAUUUUUAAGCACCGAAAUACUAGUUUCUUUAUAUCUAAAAAAUCUAGAAUCCAAAUGCAUCAAAAUUUGGUAUGUAGCUUUAUAAUAUAGUAACACAUAUUUUUAAAAAAAUUUAGCCAAAUAUUUUUCCAAAUGCCCAAGAUAUGACUAGAACCAAAUCCUUCAUGAAAUUGGCUCAUUGACAAACCUCAAUUUGGAAGCGCUAUCUUCUAGUAGUUAUUGCUCCUCUAAAUCAGCUCCAAAUCCUUUAUUUUUUACAUACAAAAUGUAGCACUUUAAACCAACUUUCUAGUUGCAUAAUUCAAUCUUCAAAAGCACUUUAUAUGCAUGCACUAUGCCUCAAAAAGUGUUAGUAGGUACAAAAUAAAUACCUUAACUUUGAACGCUUAUAUUUCCUUCACAAAACUCCAAAUCAUACAAAAUUUUAAUCAAAUCCAUAUUUAAAACCUUAAACUGUACAAAUCUAAUCUUUGAUGUUUGAAUGGAAUCAAAAAAGUAACCAUAAUUCCUAAUAAGGCUUUAAGCAACCUCCCUGAAGUCCAUUGGGCAUGACUUUUGGCCAAUAAGAAUGGAGAUUUUCAUCAUCCAUCUCCAUUCAUUCAUAUGGAUGUCUUCACUAUCCUUUUUUAUACAAAAAUCCUUCUCAAAUUCUUUUAUUAAUAAGUUUCAUAUAAUAUGUGCCUUAAAUAUCAAAUAAAAGAAACAAAAUAAGACUUCAAGAUUCAGUAUUACUUAAUAAAGAUGGCUUUAAAUAUAUAAAACUAUGUGAAUCCUACAAAUUGAUCAUAAUUGGUGCAUUAAUUAAAAACAUAGUUUUAAGUCAUUUAAUUAUAAAAAUGUAAAGAUUAGAUAGUCUUUUUUAUUUUUAAGGUAUUUAUUAUAAUUUAAAAGUAUUUAUAAGUUAAAAAUAUGUUAUUAGAAAGAAAGUUAUAAAAAUAGAGUCUUAAUAAGUCUUGGAGGCAAUUAUCUUAGUUAGUUUAGUAUUUUUUUUAUUGUUAAGUAUUAAGAAUUAAUUAUUGAGACCAAUGUCUUCAUUAGCUCUUUAUCCACAUGUAUUACUUAUAAAAUCCUAUCAAUGAUUAGUUAGCAAUUAGAAGAAGCAUGAAAAAGAAUUUCAUGUCUUUUUAAAUAAUUAUAUAAAAAAUAAGAUUUUUAGUGGAUUUAAAUUUAUUUUAUUACUAUAAAAAAUUACUAAGAUAGAAAGAUAUAGUCUUACAUAGAUAUUAGUAUUAUAAAAAUAUUAUAGGGUUUUUUAGAAUUUAUUUAGAAUUUAUUUAAGAUUUUUUAUGAAUUUUAGAAAAAAAUUCAAGACCAUGGUAAAAUUGAGUUUCACCACUUUGAGAACCAUUAUGAAGAAAUGAAGCAAGAUUUAAAGACUAUGCAAGGUUCUAGGCUAUUUGGAUGUUUUUGAACACCAUGGUGAAGUCAAAAAUGCAAUAAAAGUAGUUUUACUAAUAGAAAAUAGGAGGACCAGCAGCUAGUGUAGUCCUUAUAGGAAGAGAGGUGCACAAUUCCCACAUGGGUUGUAGCACCUUGGGUAUAAGUAGGAAGAUAAGAAUAAGGCCUCAAAGCGUCUUUAGACAACCAAUAUACUCUACUUGUGAGCCUUGGUGAGGCUCAAAAUCCUGAUUUCUUAAGUAAAUUAUCUUUGAGGUAAAAAUUAUUCACUUAAUUUUUCUAUUAUUUAUAUUCUAUUUUUAAUAGAAAAAUUAAUAUAAAUUGUGACUUAAUUUUGGGUGUUAUGAUUACUUGAUUUUAUUUCUUUCACUUGUAUUGUGCUUGAUCCUCUUUGGUCUUUUGCCAAUUGCUUACUACACUUCAUACCACCAAUUACAAGCAACUCUUAAUUGAAGCUAUCUUGUAAUUGGAGUUGAAAAAUAAAAUUUACACUCACAAAAUAUUAUUAAUAUAAAAACCAACCUUAAUAGUAGCCCUCACUAUAUUAUAUAAUAAAUUAUACAUUAAAUAUAUAUAUGCAUUAUUUUCACAUGAUAGCCAAACCACAAUACAACACUAUUAUGGUGCAAUAUAGUUCAUCUGUAUUGGCAAUUAGACAAUGGUAACUAUUAAGUCAAAAUUAUUAUAAUAUUUUUACUACAAAAUAAAAAAAAAUAAAUUUACUUACAAUCUUUGGAAAAAUUUCAAAGAAAAUUGCUAGAAGUCAUCAAUUGUUAUGACUUGAAUUUAAAAUCUACAAUCUUUAGUUUAAAAUUAUAGUCAGUUGUACCAUUUAUCUUAAUUGACUAAAAAUUAAGAUUUUAAAACUAUAUAUUCACUAUAUAUCUUAAAAUGAUGUUUUUUUCUAUUAUAGUUUUUUUUAUAUAACUCCAAUUAUUGUUAUACUAUAACAACUAAAAAAUUUAUUUUUUUUAUUUUUUUAUUUAUCUUUUCUUGCAUAGAAAUUUUUAUUCAUAAAAAUUAUUUUUAAAAAACAGAUUUUAAUAAAGAAGAAAAAAAGUCACACUUAAAUUAAUGUCACUUAGGUUUAGUAUGCUUCUUCCUACCUUCUACUCUUUAUAAUUACUUCAAUAAGUCCUAUACUUGAUUUAGUAUCUCUUUCUUAUUCUUGCUUGAUAACAGAUUUAAAUUGAAAUAAUAUCAUAUAUUUCUUAUUUAACAAGCAUAAAAAAAACAUGUAAAUUUGAACAAAGAGCUUAAUUGACAUAAAUCCAUGUAUGAUAAAUAAUCAAAAAAUUCUUGAAAAUAAAUUAAGAUAAAAGAAGAAUUUAUCAAUGAAAGUUAUAAAAAUCUCCUUGCAACUACUAAGGCUUUUGAGGUAGUUCUUGGCAAAUAUAUUAUUAUAUGAGGUUAACAAUCCAUCUCUAUAUUCUCUUAAAAAGAUAAUAUUUAUGAAAGUGUUUAUAUCUUUUAUUGUUCAUUGUUAUUAAAAUAUUAAAUCAACUCCUAAAUUAUCUCAUAUUAAGGUUGUAAGAACUACUUCAAAACCAAAUAGGAAUAAUUAAAGAAUAAAUAAAGAUUUAAUAAAGAUUGGAUGAAGAUCAUAUGAAAAUUGGAUAAAUAUUAAAUAAAAACUAGAAAAAUAUUGGAUGAAGACUAGAUAGAAAUUAGAUGGAAAUUAAAUGAAGAUUACAUGUAAAUUAGAUUAAGAAUAGAUAAAGAUCAAAUAAAUACUAAAUAAAGAUAAGAUCAAGAUUUAAUAAAGACUAAAUAAAUAUUAGAUAAAUAUUAAUGAACGUUUCAUUAAUGCAUUUUAAUUGAUAGAAUUCUUAAAAAUAAGGUUUUAAAUUAUUCAGAUAGAAAAUUAUUAAUAUUAGAAAAAAAAAUUAUUAUUCAUAUAAUUUUUAUAAUUUAAAAGGAUUUAUGAAUUAUAAGAAUUUUAUUAAAAAAACAUAUUACAAAAAUAGAAUCUUAAUAAGUUUUGGAGAUAAUUAUUCAAGUUGAUUUAGUAUUUUAUCUAAAUUGUAAAAAUUAUCAAUUAGUUAUUAAGACCAAUCUCUAAAUUGGCCUCUUAUCUACAUAUAUUACUCAUUCAAAACCUAUAAAUUUUAAUUAGUAGAUAGAAGAAGCAUGAAAAAGAACCUCAUGUCUUUUUAGUUAUUUAUAUAGAAAAUAUGACUUUUAGUUGAUUUAAACUAAUUUUAUUACUAUAAAAUAUUAAAUAGGUAGAAAAAAAUAGCUUUAAAUUUAUAUUAGAAUUAUAAUAAUAUUAAAAUUAUUUUUUAAAUUUAUUUAGAAUCAUUUGGGCAUUUUUAGAUUAUUAUUUUAAGACUUGAGUAAAAAUGAUUUUAUUACCUUGGGAUGCCAUUAUAAAUAAUUUGAAAAAAUUAAAGGCAAUGUAAGGUUUUUCAGUUAACUAGAUAUUUUUAAAUACUAUGGUGAAUUUUAAAAUAUAAAAAAGAGAUUUUACUAAUAGAAAAUAAGAUAACCAACAAUUAAUAUAGUAGUUGUAAGAAGGGAGGUGCACAUGUCUCAUAUGCAUUGUAACACCUUGGAUGUAGAUAGGAGUAUAAGACCAAGGCCUUGUGGCCUUUGUAGAACAUCCAUAUAUAUUACUUUUUAAUCUUAGUAAAGCUCAAACCCUUGAUUACUUAAGUAAGUUACUCUUGAGUUAAAACAUAUUCAUAAUUUUUAUUUUUUUAUUUUUUUAUUUUUUUGACUUUAUACCUUAAACCUCUAUAACUUGCUCAUAGUAACUUGGAUUAAUAUUUUUUUAUGUCAUUAGAAAUAUAUAUAUAUAUAUAUAUAUAUAAAUAAAAAAAAUUAUUUCUAUUUUUUAUUAUAUAAAAAUCCAAUAAAUUCACUAUAAUUAAUUAUAAGAGUUUGAAAUUAUCUGAUUGUAUUUAUUUUACUUAUAUUGUGUUUUUUCUUUCUUUUUUUUUUCUUGAUAAAUGCAUCUCUUAUUUUAUACCACCAAUUAUAAGUAAGUAUUGAUUGAAGACAUCUUGUAAUUUGGAUUGAGGGAUGAAAUUUACCUUCACACAAGUUUAUAGAAUAUUUUGUAAGGUGUUAAUGGUUUCUAAAGAUCUACAAAAAAUAUUUUAAGAUUCUAAAAGAUUUAAAGAUGUUACAAAAUCCUUUAAAAGUAUAAGAUUUAUAUUUAUGGUAAUACUUCUUAUUAUGUAAAAAAAAUUGUAAGAUGCUUCAAAGGCUUGUAUCUUUAUAUUUAAAAGAAAUCAAAGACCUGAUUUAAAAAAUUGUUAGAAAGACAUCAUUCUUUUAUUAUGUAGAUACUUCCUUAUACAUACAUCCUUGCAAAAAAUAACUAGUUUUGAUUCUCAAAUCAUGAUUCUUGUUAUAUUUAUACUUUAUUAUUAAAUUUUGAUAUAUUCUUGUCUAUUUAUAUUUUAUGGAUCUAUGAUGUUUUUGUUCUUAAUUCUUAUUUUCUUGUGGGUCUUUGUCAAAAUGAUUUUUUGAAUAUAAAAACGUAAAAUAUUGUAUUUUUUCAUUACUUUUAUUUGGCAAUAUCAGAUUAAAAAAAUUAUAAAAAAAUAUUUAAAAUCAAAACUAGUUAUUUUUUGUAGAGAUAUCUAUGUAAAGAAGAAUUAUGCAAUAAAAGAUAAGUGUCCACCUAGUAUUUUUAUUUUACUUUCAUUUUUUUAGACUUUAAUCAAUAGACAUAUUAAUUCUAUUUAAUUACUAUUUAAUUACCAUUAAUAAUUGUGAAUAUUUUUAUUUAUUGAUUUAUUUAAAUAACUUGGCUUGACAUGAGAUAUAUAAAAAUAUUUUUUUCUUUCUUUUCUUUUUUUUGCAAGAUUUAAAAAUCUUAAUCUUUAAUAAUAUGACUAAGAUUCAAAAAUCUUCCCAAUAUUUUACAUACCAAAUAUAUUUCUAAUAUAUAAAAUAGCUAUAAUUGAUCUUAGAAUUGUAACAAUAAAUAUUUAUAUUUAAAAUAUUGAUAUUAAAAAAAAAAUCUCAAUUUUAGACAUUCCAAAGUUCCAAAGAUCAAACUUAAUUAUGAAAAUAAAACAAUAGAGAUAUUCUUGUCACAAACACACCAACAUUAGUAAAGAUAAGAGGAGAUAGAUAGAAAUAAGUAGAAGUAAGUCAAUUUGAUAAUAUCUUGUGGAGAAGAUUCAGACACAAGUUUGAAUUUUUAAAUGUUUGUAAAUGAUUGAUAGGUCAAACUAGAGUUUUUCUUAAACUAAUUCUUUGUAACCAUGUAAGGUGGUGAGUGCUUAAUGACCUGGUUACACAAUCAAAGCUGGUUUCAACUACUGUUUGACUACCCACGAAAGGUCUUCACACCUUUUUGACUUUUCGCGUAAUUUCGCCAAGAAGCUGCGUGGAAUUUCCCUGGAUUUGAAGGAAGACGUCAGCGCUUCCAGCACAGACCGAAUUCUGUGAAAUCCCACGCCAUAAGUCUAGUCCAGUCAACCCACUGGUCUCCGGACUCCCAAAAGCGCGGCGCUUUCAGCGACUUUUCUACUGGGUUUUGUUUCUUUCCUUACAACUUUCUACUGAAGCUCGUCUGUUCUCUCGUGGUUCACUCGCCACAAAGCGACUUUAGUUGUCGUUCUUGACGUGCACACUUGGAUGGAAUUUUGGAGAGGAAGUUGAACGGCAAACUGCCGUCACUGUAGAGGUCAAUGCCAAGCUUUAGCUGCAGCGUUCAUCUGCGGAGGUUGGGUUUAUUAGGUGGUGGCUUGGAGCCCUGAACCCAUCAGAGACGCUCUGUGUGCUUGUCAAGCGGGAGUUGACUGCUUGAGAUGCAUAAUUCAGCUGCGGAUAGAGAUCGACCAGUGCGGAGCCGAAAAUUGUAGAGGAAGUUUGAUGGUAACUGGUGGUUGUGUGAAGGAUUUUAGUGUGCGUGGUAGUCGGGUUUGAAAUUGAUAGGUUUAUCGAAUUCUCUGUCUGUAGAAAACAACGACCCAGGGGAUUGGUAACGACGAACCUGGAAGAAGCGAAUUCAUUCCUACAGAUUGCCAAUUCAAUCAGAAAUUUCAAGCUUGGGACACGAAACUAGUGAAGGGAUAGUGGUUGAAUUUAAGAAACAGAAAUGGCGCUCAUUGCGGUUUCAAUUUCGGUCAUGCCCCCUUUUUUUAGCAUUUUCGAAAUAUGGGCGUGUGUUUUGCUGUUUGCGACUGUGGGGUUCUUCCUGUAUCGGCAACAGGGAAGCAAGGGCGCAGAGCCACAGCCCUUGCAGGCCAAGAAGGUGGAGGAGAUCGAGGAACUGCCGGAGGACACCAUCCAGAAUCAUGUGUCGGUGUUUUUCGGUACUCAGACCGGCACAGCAGAAGGAUUUGCCAAGGCUUUGGCGGAGGAAGCACAGUCUAGGUACGGCGAUAGCGUUGAGUUUAAAGUGUUGGAUCUGGAAGAGUAUGGAGCCGACGAUGAUCAGUACGCGGCGAAGCUUAAAAGGGAGAGAAUCGCAUUCUUCGCAGUGGCAACCUACGGCGACGGUGAGCCAACAGAUAACGCCGCUCGGUUCCACAAGUGGCUGGUUGAUUCCAGCGAGGACAACGAUUUCAAGCUGAAAGGGAUGAAAUUCGGCGUAUUCGGCCUCGGAAACCGCCAGUACGAGCAUUUCAACAAGGUGGCGGUGCAGAUUGACGAAGCGCUGGAGAAGUACGGUGGAGAGCGCUUGGUACAAGUUGGACUAGGCGACGACAACGACUGCAUCGAGGACGAUUUCGCUGCAUGGAAGCUAAAGCUGUGGCCUGCUCUUGAUGAAAUUUUGGGCACAGGCCAAACUACUCCGACAGCUACUUACACCGCCGCUGUUGCAGAGUAUCGCCUGGUCACAUACGAGGCUGGAACUGAGGUCCACGAAGAAUCAUACGAAGCUAGGAAGAACGGCCAAGGUGUAUUCGACGUCAGCCACCCUUGCAAAGCUGAAGUGGCAGUGGUAAAAGAGCUUCACACCGCUCUCUCAGACAGGUCAUGCACGCACUUUGAGUUCGACAUCGCAAACACGGGGAUCACCUACGAGACAGGUGAUCAUGUGGGAGUGUUCGUGGAAAACAGCAGCGAAGACGUGGAAGAAGCGGCAAGGCUCCUCGGCGUUGAUCGGGAUAUGAUUUUCUCUCUUCAUGUGGAUGCCAAGGCUGCAUCCAAUCUACCCCAACCAUUCCCAGGCCCGCUCACCGUGGACACCGCAUUACGACGAUAUGCAGAUUUGCUGAACCCUCCCCGUAAAGCAAUUCUGAGCAUUCUGGCAGCGUACGCCCAGGAUCCCGAGGAAGCAGAACGUUUGAAGUUCCUCGCUUCAGUAGAUGGGAAGGAUGAGUACGCACAAUGGGUUGUGGCAAGCCAACGCAGUCUCUUGGAAAUCUUGGCUGCGUUCCCCUCCGCGAAAGUGCCACUCGGUGUCUUCUUCGCAGGAGUUGCCCCACGAUUGAUGCCACGGUUUUACUCCAUCUCUUCGUCUCCGGCAAUUCAUCCAACCAGGAUCCAUGUCACUUGUGCUCUGGUCUACGGCAAAAGCCCCACCGGGCGCAUUCACCGCGGGGUCUGCUCCACCUGGAUGAAGAACGCAAAUUCAAUUGAGAAAUCGGGCCCCAAGAAUUGCAGCUCGGCUCCCAUUUUCGUCCGAAAAUCGAGCUUCAGGCUGCCAGCCGAUCCAGCAACACCUAUUGUGAUGGUCGGGCCUGGCACAGGACUGGCGCCAUUCCGAGGCUUCUUGCAAGAAAGAGAUGCCCUUCAGAAAUCUGGUGCUACCCUAGGCCCCGCGAAGCUCUUCUUCGGAUGCCGCUCGAGCGACAAGGACUUCAUCUACGAGGAUGAGCUGAACGACUACGUGAAGAACGGCAUCACCGAGAUCGUGGUGGCAUUCUCCCGGCAGAACUCACAAAAGGAAUACGUGCAAGACAAGAUGCAGCAACACGCGAGCGACAUCUGGAGAUUACUGAGCGCUGAUGGGUACCUGUACGUGUGCGGCGACGCGAAGGGCAUGGCAAGGGAUGUGCACAGGGUGGUUCACAGCAUUGUGCAGCAAGAAGACGGCGUCGACAGCAGCAAGGCGGAAGAAAUCGUCAAGCAGCUGCAGCAGGAUGGGCGCUACCAGAGGGAUGUGUGGUAACUCGUCAUCGAAACAACUCCAUCUCUCAGUCCAAUCGAACUUCAGCGAUGGUUUUACUGUAAAGAUAAUUUUAAACAUCCACUGCUUAGAGUUAGUCGAAAUUCACACAAUCAGUGCGCACAUUGUGCAAUAGCAGCUGCGAAUUCAGGUAUUUGUUAGGAACACCCCAUAGCGACCAUAAUCCUUCGGCAGAGACAACCGUUCAACAGCAAGUUGAUGAAGUUGAAUGUUAGUUCACAAGUUCAAGGAUGUAUCUAACUAGAUGAGUCAAGAGCAAGAUGGCCGAUUCAUCUUCACUUUACAAUCACGAUGGACAAAACCUACCCAAAAAAAAGUGAAGGCAUUUCAGCCCGGCACAUGUUUCAACUACAAACCUGCGUCUCGAUUUAGCGUAACCACUGAGAUUAUUUUUUUUUUUUUUUUUUUUUUUUUUGCCCUGUGGAUUCGAAGCUAUGUCUAGUUCGAGCUCUAUCCGCUACUGCAUGUUCAGGUUUCAAGCGACAACAAUCUGUCGCGGGAAGAUUCCAAGUGUGGCAACAUGGAUCAACGGCGACACCGAAAUGAAACUAAACCAUUGAGCGUUUUCACUAUCAAUUAUAUGACGGCAAGUUGAGCUUCAGCAAUGCAUUGUUACGAUCAUGAAACAACUGAGUUUUAGUAGAUUAGAUGAGAUGGGUUCAGACGUGCCUGAUCCCAUUGAUAUGGUUCGGCAAAAUCUGGGUGCUUGGAUUGUCCAUCACAGAUCUAGUGUAGAUUGCAGACUUGGGGCAUAUUGUCACCGGAACCACAAGCGAUUUAACGACAGCUUGAGAGAUACAUUGUGUAACGAUCUUAUCAAUAAAUUGCUAAGAUAUAUGUAUGUAUGUAUAUAAAACACAUUUGUGGAUGUAAAUCAAUACCAUAAACUAGGAAGACAAAUUGGCCUUCUCAUUGGUUGGAUUUUUCAAUCAUCAUUGUUUUCAUCAAAACUUUUGUUUUAUUAUUUUCAACAAAACUUAAUUUAACUUGUCGAUUCACAAGACUUUAACAAAACCAAUUAACCACUUGGAGUGAAUCCAUGGACAAUCAUAGUGAGGAGUAGAGUAAGCACUUGAAGAAGACUAGAAGAACGUUCCAUCUAGUUACAAUCUGAUUCAUCCAAAAUUCAUAGAGGUUUGCAUUGAAGAGAACUUCCUUGACAUGCAACAUCCACCAUCACCACCCCUGGUUCUAUUACUACCUACAUUGACACUCUAUUUGUGCCAUGGCAUGAAUCCCAAUAGUAAUUCUUAUUCUCAGAUAUCAGAUUGUUUUCUUAAUUUUCUUUUGAAUUGAUUUUUUUCAUGAACUUCUAGUUGUAGAAUGGCUCAGAAUUCAAUCUCAUUGCAAAAAUUAUGGUGAUGGUGUGGAAAGGUGUAUUAUAUCUAAGAACUUGGUUACAGUUGUUACUUGAAAGGGUUGAUUUUACCAUGAAGGCUUAGGGUACAACAAUGCAAGGGUUUAAAGAGAAGUCUACUAGAAAUAGACAAGUGGAGGCAGAGGUGGGAGUUAAAGUGGUGUUUUUUUAUGGAUUGGAGUUGUUUGUAUCUUGGAGGGUGCAUUUCCUCCAAUUAUUCCUCCUCUAACAGCUGCACGUCUUCUUAAAUGGGUGGCCAUCAAAGCAUGAUAGAAUUCAGUUUUGAUGUUCUGACAACACCUUCUCAUGUGCUCUAAUAACAUUAGGGUUCAUGCAAGGAAAAGAGAAUUGGGCUACAAUUUCAUUAUUGUAGUCUUUUUUGCAGCCAAGUUAUGAAUAUUGUGUAUGAGGAGCAUGUGCAUUUUUUUAUGUUUUUUUACAUUUUUUUUUUUUGAAAAAAUAGAGAAAUGCCAAAUGCACAAGAUAUUUAAGUUAAAAUCAUUUUAGAACUUUUUGUUCGAAUAUGUAAUAAGAAUAUAAAAAUUGAGCAAAUUUAUCAUAAAUGUGUGGAUAUAGAUGCUUGUACCAAUUUCUUCAGUAUCUUCUACUACUUCACAAUUAGAUUUGUGCAACAAUUUUUUUUUUCUUUUUCUUUUUUUUUUCUUUUUUUACUUAGAAGCACAAAAUAAAGUUAUUUUUGGAUUAUCAAAGAUUUUAAAUAUUUGUGAGACUUAUUUUUUACAAUAUUAUUAUUUAUAAAAUAUGAUAAUAUUUUAUAAUAGAAGAAUAGUUAUUUUUUAAUUUAUUUAUGUUUAAAAUUAUAUAUAUAUAUAUAUAUAUAUAUAUAUAUAUAUACAAAUACAUAAAUUUGAAUUCUUCAUAUAAUUAACACAUAUUAUGUCAAUAAGAUCUUAAUCAGUUUGAUAUAAUAUGUUAAAGUUGCAAAGGUCUAACUUUGGACCUUAAAACUACAUUGUAUUGAGUUAAAGGAAUCUUAAUAUCUAUGUAGUUAUUUUGAAAAGCCAUUAUACAACAGUUUUCUUAAGGUUCUUCACUUAGUAAAGAAAAUUUCUCUUUUAAAAGCCGUGGUCUUUAGAAAAAGUAUAAAAUGAGAAGAGGCCAUGAAAUAGACUAAAUCAUUCUUAUGUUAUAAAAGUAAAUAUGUUAACUCAUAUCUUAAUUCUAAUAAUUAUAUAUAUAUAAUAUAUAUAUUAUAUUAUAUAUUAUAUAUUAUAAUAUAUAUAUUACUAUAUAUUAUAAUAUAUAUAUAUAUAUAAUAUUUUAUUUCAAUAGUUAUUUUUUCCAAAGUCUUACACAUAUUCUUAAAAUAUAUAUAUAUAUAUAUAUAUAUAUAUAUAGGUUGGUCUAUUGCAAAUUCUAAGACAUGAUAUUUCAUCUUGUGUAGGAAAAACAAGUAUUCUACUUUGGGGCUUGGAGGCUAAUUUUUAUAAGUGUAGAGCCAACUAAAUGAGCCUUUUUAAUAUCAGACAAUUAAAAGAUUUAAAAGUUGUGACCUCUCUCAUUUUCUUCUAGGUAUUGAAAAUUUCUAAUAAGUCUAAGAAUAUACAAAAAAUUCAAUAAUAAUAAUAAUAAAACUUCUUCUACUGAUAUGGUUUUAAAAGUAAAAUUUUGUCAAAUUUUGUAAUAAUUACGAUGUUAUUUUAUAAGCAUAUAAAGUUGAUGUAUUUUAACCAAUUUUUCUUUAACUUAAUUUUUUAAAUAUACUAUAGUUAGUACUACCUUUAUAACCAAAAUCAUUAUUAAAUCUCAAAGCAACUAUAUAUAUAUAUAUAUAUAUAUAUAAGAAAAUGAAUUAAAUUUUGAUCAAUGAAAUUCAAGGCAUAAAUUUAUUAUUAAUACUAUUGUUGGAUUUUAAAGAUGCAAUGUGAUAUUUAUAAUCCAUAAAAAUUAUUUUUUAAUCUAAAUUUAUCUAUCUUUAAGAGUAAAGAGAAUUCAUUUAAAUAAUUUAAUUAAUUAAUUAAAAAUAUAUAAAUAUAUAAAUAUACAAAAUGUCAGAAAUCACAAUACUAACAUAAUUCAAAAGAGAUGUAAAUAAACAUAAGGCCUCAAACCAAGCUUCCUUGUACAUUUUCUUCAAAAAUAUUGAAAAAAAUUACAAGAUGAUUCAAACUCAAAAAAAUAAAUUAGAAGAUCUUUGUGAUGCCCUAUGGUACUUCGACAGAAGUUUUUAAAACAUACAAUAGUUUUGUAGUAUGUUUUAAAAGUUUCUACAUCCACUGAUUGUCUGGUAAAAUAUAAAAUAGCGAUUUUUGAAAAGAUUUUACAUAAUCACACUGUACUACUACAUACUUUAAUGAAGAAGAGCUAUGUUUAGCAAAAUCAAAAUUCCCCUACUAUUUUUGUUCAAGUUAGCAAUUCCAUAUUACUUGAAGAGUUUUGUUUGAAUUGAACUUAGAAAAUUAUUUUAAAUUAGAAUGGUCAUCAAAUUUGUUAUUGUGAACAUGAACUUAAUGCAAGACCAAACUUUCAUGAGAGAGCUUCAAUAAUCAUAUGAUACUUGGCUGGGUGAAUGGCUCCUGAGACGACUCCUUAACAUAAACUUUGUAAGAGUAAUAUAAAAUCAAAUGCCACCCAGCGAAAUUUUAAGUAAUCUACACUUCCAUGACUAGUUUACUAAAACCCUGACAAAUAUUAUACACUUACUAAUCUUAAUGUUCAUAGCUUUUAUCCAAUCAACAUGUGUGGGAAUUGUUCUUCAAAUCUGCAGAACAUUACCUUGAGAUGGCAGAAUAUGCACCAAGUGUAGGCAGGUUCCAGACAUCACGACUGAAUCCUCGCUUUUCGAGGUUAGAAUUUAACUAACAGGUAUGCUGAAAAAGUUCCUGGAUUUCUUUACCAGUUAUUCGGCAUUCGAAGAGGGAAAAUAAGGUGACUAUUGAUAAUACUCGGAUUGAUCAGCAUGCAGAAGAAUUGUCUCAGCAGUCUCAACAAUCGAACAUACAUGAUAGAGAGUAAGAGCAAUAGCUUAGGUCUCGUAUAUGAAAGAAAUUCAACUUAUAAUGGUCCUACUGCUUUGCAGGGCCGAGAACACUACAAGUCAAAGAGAUAUCCCCACUUCCAGUAACAGAAAGCCUCGAGCACCAUAACCUUGAGUUUGAGGAUUAAGACCCAUCUUCGCUGAACCUCAUGAACUCGACAGGAGAGCCUAACCCAUCAAUAUCUGUACUUUCUGUCACAAUGGAUUCGUGUCAAAACUUCAUCUCCCCGGUCUAUAUAAGCUACUAACUCCGCAACAACUACAAACACACUCAUAUAUAUAUACAGCGCUUUUCAGUCACAUGUUCCUGAAGUAACCAAAGCAAGCUAAUCCACCCGAGACACGAACACAACUCCGACCUUGCUCAGAAAAUGAUGCUCUUCAUGUAAUUAGGAUUGGUGAUGGGCUGGCUGGAAUAGUCCGUGCUGCGAAAAUCGGCCGGGUAGGACUGGCUGGGCCUGUAAUCGCUGUAAUAGUUGGCUUUAGGCUGAUAGUUCAUAUCAUGAGGGUGGUAACCAGGGUAGUAACCUCCGCCAUAGCCUCCCAUGGGUGGAAAGCCUCCAUAAUCAUAGCCAGGGUCUCGAAAGACCAUCGGAUACUCGUUGCCCUGGUUGUUGCCGCCACCACCACCACCUUUACUUUUCCCCUUUCCUUCUCCUCCACCACCACCACUACCACCUCCUUGAUUCUGAUUCUGAUUGUUAUUGGAAUUGUUGUUGUUGUUGUUGUUGUUCUUGUUCCUCUGGGAGUUUUCGCCUCCCCCUCCACCUCCUCCUUGAUUGUUGUUCUUAUUUUUAGGAGUGUUGUCACCCCCAUGUCCACCAUUGCUCUGCUGGUUAUUGUUGCCACCACCGCCACCUCCAGUUUUUUUCUUCUCACCUCCUCCGUUAUUAUUGCUGUUAUUGCCAUUGUUGUUCCCAUCAUUUCCUUUUCCUUGCUUCUGACCAUUCCCUUGCCCUUGCCCAGCGUUCCCACCUUUUCCGCCACCACCUGAAUCUUUCUUGGUCUCCUGAGGCCAGAAGUACGCCUUCUUAUCGACAUUCUUCUUGAACUUCUUCAAUAAAAUCGUGGGAUCGACAUUCCCAACCACGGUGACUUUGCUGUGCCCACGGUCGAUGCUCACUGACUGCACACCUGAAUAUUUCAACCAAAACGUCCUCUUGUAAGUGCUAAUACAACAUUCAAAAAGAGGCAGCUUACGAAACAUCACGUGAACGUUCAAAGUAAUCUCUGCAUAUUCACUACAAGAAACGUGUAAAAUUCAAGGAGUCGAUACCGGGGGCAAUGAUCUUACCAUAGACGUAAUGAGCUUCCUCCAGAACCUUCUCCUCACACUUGGGGCAGCACAUCUUCACUUUGUAUUCAUAUUUCUUCAGCACAAACGACAUCAAUUCUUCAGCCGAAACAGAUAACCUUUCGACAUGGUCUCAAUCAAGCAUAAUUGUCGUCAUGAAAAGAAAAGAAGAAAAAAAAAAAAAAACUCACAAUGGAUGAAUUACGGUGAAUACCAAUGUCACAGCUUACCGGAACCACAGGUCCUUUGGGUUUGUUGUUAUUAUUCUGCUGGUUAUUAUUGUUACUGUGGUUGUUGGUGUCGCCGCCGCCGCCGCCGCCGCCGCCACCACCCUUACCCUUCUUGCCCUGCUUACCUCCACCUUCAUUCCCAUUCUCGUUCUCUGUCAUCCACUCGGGAUCUCUGUUCAUGUUCAUGACCUGAACAAAGCCAAUUCCAAAUGUCAACAAAGACUCGAUGGAAGAACCCUAGUUGCUCAUCUUCAAUAGAUCGUCUAAAGCUACAACACACCCUCACUGUUCUAUCAGCACAAAAGAAAGCGAACGCUUCUUCCUUCUCUAGACAGAUACCACACGCCGAUGCUUCAAACUUGGUGCGUCAGAAACACACCAACAGAACCACUCAAAAACUCCAUAUCUGAAGACACCCAAAUGGCAGAUCGUUCAACUGAAACCAAAGAAGAUACAACACCACACUCGUUAAACUUCUCGCCACACUCCGUCUAGACUCAAAGAGUUUGUUAAAACAUCGAGUCAACAACGAUCGACGCACCUCAUUCAUGUUGGCCAUGUUGACAGACACACUUCUGCAACGCGCAACUCUGGAAGUCCUAAAGAAAGCAGCGCCUUUACAAUAUACCAAGCAUGCACAUCGCCGACUGAUGAUCAAUCACUCCCAGCACCCUCCACCCUCCACCCUCCAGACUCAGCUCAAACAAGAGAUCUCUUUCCCACUAAGGUUCCCGUCUGCUGUAAAAAUCGACACCACCCUCAGAUAGUAAUAAUGGCACAAUUGCAAUCUCAGAAUUAGCGAGAGCCAGCUGGGUGAAGAGAGCAGAGGUGGUGGGAACUUAGCCGGGGCCGGAGGUAGCGCUAAUGGCAGCAUAACUUGUGAGCGACGCUGGGGGGGGGGGAGAUUUCGAGGAACGAGAUAUGUCCGUUCAAGACAAAUGCCUAGCUCUGCCACUGUCAGGCAGGGGCUAUAGUCCCUACCCUAGGACGAUGGUGAUACAGUAAAACCAGGGGAGACGGAUCACUAUUCACAGGGGAAUCAAAUUAUGGGUGAGAAACAGUCAAUGAUUUGAGCUUGUGUGCAGACUAUGACGGCGAUUGAAGGUAGACCUGCAGCAGUUAAAAGUUAAUUAAUUACCAACAUCAAGAGAUUAAUCAACUGCGAGGGACGAGAGAGACAGACUGUUAGUCGACGAGAAUUUUAGCGGCCCAAACAUCGCAUUCCGAGGCUGGCUACGUGACUCCGAUCUGGUAGUUCGUGCAAGUGAAUCCAACGGAAGGAUUGCAUAUCCAACUGCAUGUUGAAAUCUGGAGGUCAAACUCUUCCGUAGACUGUGUAAAUGGGCCGCCGCGCAGGAUAGGGCUUGUCGUGAAGCGCAGGUCAUGAUGCGGGUAUUGAUGCAGUCCUCCCUGAUUUGUCGAAGAUAGUGAUAUUAUUAAGUGAACAUUCCUCGUGAAUAGAAGAUAGAAUAUUUAAUGUAAUGAAAUAUUGUAAAAAAAUAUUGCAAGAGUACCAAUCAGCAGACCCACAGGGGACUAAUAUGGUAAGCUCAUUAUAUGGUGAAGUGAGAUAUAAUAGUUAAAAACGUAGGUGACACACGAGGUUCACAUCGACGUACAGAACCAUUAUUUUGGGCUGCAUCGAAGAAAUACAGAAUGCGCAACUUAAAAGCAUUUUAAAUUUUCCUCUCGGUUGGACAGAGCAAUUGCUCCAAACACCAUGAGGACGGGGCAAAUCACAAAUUUCGAGUAACAAAACUUCAACUCAAUCAUAAAAUGGCGCACAUAGGAAAAAUGGUAAGAUAUCAGAUGCGAAUGUAUGCAACUCAACGCAUGCGACGGUAUGUCCAGAAUUGUGACGGAUUCUCAUAUAAAAUAGCACCAGUGCCCCACGGGAAUACAGAGAUAGCGCAAGCUCUAAGAGCUCUAUCGGUAGCGCUUGAGAGAAAGUGUGUUGUUGCGCUUCCAUGUAGCACGAAUCGAAGGACGAGCUUUGGUAUACAAGUGACCUCUGCCGCGGAGACCACGAUACUUCUUGCCAGCAGAUGUUAGUCCACGCAACUCACGGUGCUUGUGAACGGGGUUCACAAUCCAAUUAAUCCUUGGAUCCUUACGGAUAACUGUAUGUUGCGGAUCAACCAGAAUGAUCUCAAAGUACUUGUAUGUAGAGUCCUGCACCGAAACCAUUUUGAUAGGUAAACCCUCACAGACCACUUCCGCAGAUCCCACAUGGCGUGGGGAUUACUAAUAGCAACCCAACAAAUAGAAGGCAAUAGAUCACGAUAAGGAAUAAAGAACUUAGCCCAGUUCAGCUAAACCUACAAAACUUCUCGGACCACUGGAAUUCAACUUGGUGAGCAUUCUGGACAGAAAGUAACCGACCAAGUCUUGAGAGAGAGAGAGAGAUAAAUAAAAUAAAAAAAUAAAACAUUAUCAGAGAUAGGGUAAAAAAAAUAUCCAAAUGCUACAGAACUCGUGACGUGUACAAAAAUCACAAUUCACGACAUUAUUAAUUAGCAACUCGCACCUAAUUGGCAGUAUUCAAAACGAUCAGACCCUCGAUUGUGUUUAUUACAAAAACCAAACAGAUCCAUAAAUAUGGACAUACCUGGUUGAUCCAGUAAGAGUUGAGGACCCUAAGGCCUCCAAGCUUCCUUCCUGCCCGCUCCUCAGCUACUGAUCGCAAGUUACGCUGGAACUUAAGCUGUGUAAUACCUUGGUUCUUAGGCUUUCCAUACACAAUACCCUUGGCAACUGGCCUCUUCCUGCCUCCACGGCGCACGCGGACGCGAUACACCACAUAACCCUAAAACAAGACCACAACGAUGAUAUGUCAGAAUUAGAAUCGCAUGGAAUCAACAAAUACCAUGUUAAGUAAAUAUUUAACCUUGGCGAGCUGAUGUUGACAUGCAAAUUGAGUAUUUCUACAUUAAGUUCAAGAAUAGGUAUCGAAUGAGACUCAGAUGCAAAAACAGAUAAAAUCAAAACCACAGGCUCGCGAGGUAAGAAGAUCAGAGUUCUCCAGAAGUUCACAAAAUAGCAUGAAUAAUUCCGAUGAGCAAGUACACAAAUAAAAUACAAGAGAAGAGCAAGUCCCAAUCCAUGACAUCAGGAGGACGAUAAAUUUUAUAAAGGUUAUUGUCAAAACAUGCACGAAUGUGUCUCCUCAACUGCCAUCUAAAGGAAAUCCACUGAAACCAUGUAGCUAGCACACCACAUCAUCGACGCCAUCUUAGACAUAAAACAACUAGGAAAGACAUACUCAGUUUUGGCUAGUAACAUUGAGAUUUCUAACAUCGCGACGCAACUCCUGAUGAAUUAAGCAGGACUAGAAUAGAAAAACGGGUGGUAACCACAGAAUGCAGAUGCAGUUUCAUUUACGUUUAAGACCAUUCAGAAGUUCAACAAUUAUUCGGCACGAUGGUAUGUGAGUGAGAGAGGCAACCCAAAAAAAAUGGGUUAUCGGGGCUUGCAAGCAACCUACUGGACAGAACUAUAUAGUAGAUGCUUUUCUACGCCACUUCACGCCACGCCAUCAAAACAAUUCAAAUGCUACAAUUUUUCCAAAUGCAAAGGGUGCAAGAAAAUAGCCAAAUUGAAGUCUCAACACGUACCUGCUUGGCCUUGUAACCUAGACGGCGAGCCUUGUCAGGCCGAGAAGGGCGAGUGACGCGGACGAUGCCGGGGAGCUGCCUGUACUCCCAGCAGCGCACACGCAGCAAAAACCGCAGCACAUCAGACUGCUUCUUCCGCCACAACUCCUCAAUGUACUUGUAGGCGCCUGAGAGCAAAAUCAAUAAAUACCAACAAUCAGACAAUCAACACCUAAAACUCCGAACCGACGGAACUCUAAUUGUGAAAAUUGAACAGCAUUGCACCAAACCUACACCACUCAAUGAGCAUAUCAACGGAGCUACGUCCAAUAUAGACAUUGUACGUCCCACUCUGAGAGAAAGUUGUUAAACCCUAAGGCAACGUACAUAAUCCUUCCUCGACAAAUCAAAGUGAAGUCAAUUUCCAUGAGAAUUUGUGCAUAUCAGCAGGACAGGAUGCUACAAAGUGCAAAGUGUGGAGAGAAUCAGGGCAGAGGAGAGUACCCAUGAUGAAGGAUAGCGCAGGGGGACGCAAAGACGGGAUGGCGAUGGCGCAAACAGAAGAGAGCGAGCGCAGUGAAGCCCCUGGCGUUCAAAGCAGGGAGCCGCCUCGUCCAGCGCCAAACCCUAACUGUCCUCUCCUGUUCCCUCCGCUUAGUUUCUGGAAAUCUACGUGAUAGGAGAGAUUAGCGAGGAAAUGUUGGGCCCUGGGUACAUAUCCUAUCCGGGGAGAGCCUGGUUUGUUGUGGCCCAGUUGUAUGUGUAUUUGUUUGUUUAUAUAUUCCAUUCUUAUAUGAUUCUAACAUACAUUUGUAAGGAUUACCUCGUUUUAGGGAGAAAGAAUAAAAUUUUGAAUUUCUCCGUUUCAUGAUAUGGGUGAGUUGAAUAAAAGAAUAUGUUGUAGUAAAUUAAAAAGAGAAUGUUUUUCUUUUCUUUUUUUUUUCCUUUAAAUAUAAUAAUUUAUUUUCAUGCUUAAAAGGUGAUUUUUUACCAUUACCUUUUUUAAAAGCAUAUAUAGGAAUAUAAAUGGAGCAUUAAUGGGUUGCAAUUACAUUUUUUUUUUUUUUUUUUUUUUAAAGUUUCUAUACAAUUCUUUCAAUGUUUUAAGAUUUUAUUUAUUAUGAUUUUUUUGCUUAUUCAUAUUUUAUCUGUUUGAAUGUAUGUAUGUAUAUAUAGCAUUGCUAAUGCCACCAUAAUUUUGCUUCAACCACUACAAUUUUCUAUCUACUAUAUGCUACCAUAAUUUUUGAUAUCGCUACAACAACUUUAUUUUUAUUAACUAUUAAAUUACUUUUUAUUAAAUUUAAGUUUACUUUCAUAUAAAUAAAUAAAUAAAAUAAAAUACUAAAAAUAAAUUCUUAUAAUAAUAAUAAUAAUUAAUUAUAAUGUCAAUUGGAUAGUAGAUUGUAGUAGCAAUAUCCAAAAUUAUAGUGGCAUUAGCAGCACCAUAUAUAUAUAUAUAUAUAUAUAUAUAGAGAGAGAGAGAGAGAUUUAUUGGGAGUUGUUAAAACCACACUUUCAUUUUGUUAAUGCUACACCCCCACUUGCCAUCUCAUAAUUAAUUUACUCUAUCUCCCAUCCCUUAUCUCCAGCCUUUAAACAAGAGAUGAGGAAAUUGGGAACAAGAGUGGGAGGUUGAAGACAUGGGACUAGGAAUAGAGAUGGGAGGUUGAAGACAAGGGAUGGGGGAUAGAUCAAAUUGAUAAUAAUAUGUAUAAAAAAAAUACCUUAUAAUGUUUAUCUAUUUUUAUAAUACUACAUUUUACGAAUGGUUAAUUUCUACCAAUUCUCUAUCCAACAAAGUGCAUCACCCAAUUAAUUCACAAUUUGCCAAAUUAUUGUUCCUAAAUUAAUUCUCCACGUGACAUACUCCUCCACACCAUCCAACUUUGAUACCCCUAAUGAGCUUACUUGGAGACUACAAGGAUGUUACAAUUGUUCAUCCACCAAGGCAUCUUUCUUCCUUGAUGCAACCUUUUCUAUGCAACUGAAGAACUGAUUCAAUGCGUCACAAAGAUUUGUACAGGGAAGUAUGGUUGCUUGAACCAUUUAACUCAAAAGUGUUUGACUUUCUUGUUUCAGAACCCAAAAAAAAACAAGCCUUACUACCUGACAAUUAUAGAAUGUGCAGGCUUCUAGAAAUCUCUUAAUCGAAGAGAGAAGACAAUGCCAAUCAUGCACAGAAAAAAGUUAAGUUUCUGUCUGUAGAAUUUUUUUGUGAUCCAGAUCAAGACAAAAUAAUAAUAUAUUGCUCGUUAAUAAACCAUGCUACAGGAUCAAGUUUGCAGGUUCUAACAUAUAUUCAGGUUUGUUUUCAACCAGAUUCAUUUACUAACCUUGAAAGAGUUGUUGGAGCACACACAUGAGGAUCUAAGAGCAGAAAAUGCAUUUUUAGAAGACAAUAGAAAUGGGUUAAAGUCUCCCAAUGACUGCCUCCACUUCCUCUGCAGAAUAAAUAUGAAACUCAGGAGCAACUCGUGCAACGUCCACAUUAGAGGAUGUCAGAGUUUCCUCCAUUACUUGCUUCAGAAUCGACAAUGCUAAUGUCUCGGCCUCAACAAGCGACAUAUUCUGCAACAAAAAUACCCUUUGUUGUAUCCUCAGUAUCUUUUAUGGCAUAAUUCAUUAAAAUCACCUCAUGCAUUAGAAUAGAUGAAGCUAUGGAAGACUUGGUUGCAGCAAUACCCGAUCAUAUUGGUCUAUGAGAGCUUGGUCUGCUCCUUCAGAGCCUGAUCCUAUCGCUUUGGCACUGGUCUCCCAAUAUGAUCCUGAUGGAUCCGUGUGAAAUCUGCCCAGUCUGUGGGUUAGUGGUGAUUUUCUUUUCUAGUUUAGAGAAUCUAAUUGCUUAAAUUCUAGGGUUGUAUAUUCUUUUUCUAACAUGGGCACACACUUUGUGGAAUAUACAGAACUUUCGAGAAAGUGUUGGAUACAUACAGGGCUGGACCAUGAUCGUCGUGACCAGCGAUCAGAAGAGAUGCUCCAAACGGACGCGACUGCACAAGAUGAAAAAUUGUAUGUUGCUUUAAAAUUUGAACACAAGUUGAUGUGUGUAUCUUCCAUUGACAAAUAACUCGACUUCUGGAUGACUUGCCCGUGGUAAGCUCUCAAAGUUUUGUAGAAUUUUGCGGAUCAUGUUUAUUGCUCAUACACAACAUAAGCAACAGAGGAUUUGUUACUUCGAGAACUGACCAUAGAUUCAUCUCCUUCACCGAAUUUGAGAGCCAAGUUGCACAAGGCUUGAGUAGUUGAUUCAACACUCAUGGCUUCGUUGUAUGAGAACCUAUGAUUCUAAAUUAAUUCCAUGUGAACAGCACACAAUGCACCUCGUUAGAUGCCUUGUUCGCAGCCAGCUGCGAAUCCACAUUCAUAAAAACACUCUCUUACAAAAGUUGUACAUCUAGAUUUUGAAACCUGUGUUUCCACGCGGCCGUGUUCCAUUAGGGUUCGAGCAUCAGCAGUUAACCCACUCAUGGCACAACCAAUGCAGUCGUCAAUCAUCACUAUCUUCUCUAUGCUCUUUGUUUCCUGCAAUCAACAGCAAAGCACAAGUCAUGUUGCUGAUGGCUAUGAGUAACAACGCAAUCUGUGAUAGAAUACUUUCCAGAAUUUGGCGAUGGGGCAAAAUAGACAAAAACCUCACCAGUAGAGGGGAAGUGACUACUUUCUCCACUGCAAGAAUGACACCCUCUCUCGUCAACAGCCCUAUUGCCGUUGAACCCAGCUGCCGCAUUUAUCAGAAGCACAGAACAAUAAAUAAAUAAAUAAAUGUUGUGAGUAUUCAAUGCAACAGAACAAUGCACAAUUGUUACAUUUUUUUUUUUUUUUUCUUCUUCUUCUUCUUCUUCUAAUUUCUUCAUAAAUUCGCUUUUGCAACACGCUCACCGUGGAGGUCAAUUUCAAUACCUGGUCAGCAGGAGAUUAGGGCUUCCUAAUACAGUAACAGGAAUACAUCAAGGUGCCGCAAAGUUUCGUGUUAGGUCAAAUAUGCAAACAGCAGAAUGAGCAAGUAAUGCGUUUGAUGUGCGACGGUUUCUAAGAAUCGACUUCGAUUUCCUGAUUAAAUAAUUGUGCACACGGUAAGUUACCUUGCUGGCUUCAAUGGCAUAUUCAACCUGGAAGAGACGACCUUCAGGCGAGAACGUAUUAACGCCUCUGUCAUACUCACUUCUGCACACACACAAACAUGAGCAUUCUUCAAUAGUCAAAACACAUUUGUUGCCCAGUUGCCAGAAACUUCUCACAUCACCAGACUUCUACUUCUUCUUCCUCAACGACAUAGACUGCAGUUAAAUUGUGGAACAUACCGGACAUCUGAUUACACAAAUGUGGACUUAACUCUUCUGCAGUUUUGUGUAAAGUAACCCAGCUGCCUCACAAUGUGCACUUGACACACAUCCUUCUGUGCUUGUUUGUGAAGAAGAUCAUGCAUUCAACAAGUCCAGUUCCUUUGCUUCUAUGAAUGCGUGUACUUUUGAUGAAUAACCAAAGCUUGACCAGAGCAUAAUUAUUGACCUAUUUGUCUGCCAUUUGUACCCUUAAAUUCUAUAUACAAAACACACAACAUUGCUAUCGUUUGAAGGCAAUACUGAUAUGCAUGUGUGGUGUUUUUGCAUCAACAUUGAAGGCUUGAUGUUAAUUCAAUGCAAGCAAUUUAUGAUUCAACAAUGUGGGUCAUUGCUUCGUUCUUAUAAACCACCAUAUUCUGAGGGCAACGCUUCAGAAUGAUCCAUACCUUGUGAGAAACAUGGGUGAUGUUGCUCAAAUAAGUUGCAAGGCUUGUGAAUUGAGGAUUGAGUUGAGGCAAAGCAAGGAAUACAUUAAUGCAAUUUUCUUUUUCUUUUUCUUUGGGAAAGGUCUUAUUCUAUGCUGGUGUUUCUCUUAUCAACAUUAUGAAUUGUGUGAAAUUAUCAAUCUUCGGCAAGUGUGUAUUUUUUUUUUUUUGUUUUGUUAAGAUUGAAAAGAAUGGAAGAAAUUAUCAAUUAGGAAUUUUCUUAUACCUGUGUGCAUGGAUUUCAAUUGCACACUAACAUGAUAAGUUAUUCCACAAUGUGCUUGUUUGAAAAAUUUCAACAAUGAGUGUGCUUGUUCAAAACCCUGUGGUGUAUUUGUCCACAGACUCAAGCAACUAAGGUGGUGUUUGUGAUUUGAGUAUUAUUGAUUUUUAAACUAAAUAACUACUUUAAAAUUGAAAAAAUGAAUAGUAAUAAGCACAAGAAUGUCGGAUGUUUGUACGAAGCUUUCUCACCCACUCAAAUAUAAAUUUCAAAAUUAUAUAUAUAGUAAAUAAUAGGUUUCAAGUAUAAUGAGUCCUGACAUCAAUUGCGGCAAUUUUUUACUACUUCUAUUUCCCAACCAUACAUCUUCAAAACAUCAAAAAGUUAAGGAAUCAGACAGUUUACAUGUAAAUUCGACUGUAAAUAUUGUAGUUAUUUGUCCAGUAUGAUAUAAUUUUCUCACUUUGGUAAAAUUACUUAUUAGAAAUAGAAAACUGUAAGGUGGACACCCCUAUUAUUGCAUAAACACCCUCAUGCCAUGCACAAAGCCUAGAUAUGAACCCAAUUCAAGCUAAACAAAAUAUGUUUAAACAACAGAAACAAUUAAAGUAAGAAAAUACUACUCUUUUAUAGUUUUCAAAUGUAUGUAUAUAUAUAUAUAUAUAUAUAUAUAUAUAUUCUCUCUCAAUUUUCUAUAAGGAAUACUAUGAUUUGUAAAAUGUAUCAAGCAUUGCUUUGAAAUGUUCAUCUUUUUUUUGUAAAUCAAGGAUCUAUUCUUCAUAAACAUUAAGAUCUAUCCUUUAUAAUCAUAAAAGUAUAGUUUUUCUCUACAUGCAUUAUUCUUAUUUUUUUAUUUUUUUAUUUUUUUAUUUAUAGCUUAAAUUGAGUUUAUAUCUGAGCUUGAUGUGUGGCAGAGAGGUGUUCACCUAACAAUUCUCUAAAAAUAUUAUGAAAUACCAAUGAGAAACAAAAAUAUGUUUUUAUUCAAGAUGUUGCACUUUAAGACAUAUUUUGAAACAUCAAAAUGAUUUACAAGUUAUUUUAAUAAAAUGACACUAUAUUAUUAAUAUUGUAAGUUAUUACCAUAUCUAUCAAUACUACAUAGCACUAAUUGAUUGUAUCAAUAUUAGUGGAACUAGAAAUGCUUGUUCAAAGUAUAAUUUUUUUCUAACAUUAAAUUAUUUAGCAUACAAAUAAACACUUGAAAUUUCAAACUACAAAAUAAAAAUACUAUGAGCUAGUAUAAGUAUAUAGUUUUUUUAAUGUAUUUUUUAUCUAAAAAAUGAUAAAUAAGAAAGCAUGAAAUACAUUAAGUUUGAUUUUCAUGCUAAUUUUAUUAAAUAUGAGUAAUUAAGAUGGAAAGUAUAUACUUUGAUUUUAAAAUUAAUCAAUUAAAAUAAUUAUAUAAAAACAAGUUUCCUUUUAAGGUGCAUUCAAAAUUUUCUGAACAAGAUAACCUCAAAGUAAAUUUCCACCUUUCUUAUCAGAACUAUUAUUUUUCUUCUCUAAAUCCACCGUCGUAGAACAUAUAUUCUUUCCAGGUAUGAACAAACUAUGUCUUUUGCCAAGUACAUAUAAAUAUAUAUAUAUAUAUAUAUAUAUAUAUAUAUUUAUUUAUUUAUUUUCCUUUGCAGAGUUGGAUGACGACCUGCUCGCCAAGGUGCGGUACUUGUGAGUUGAAAACAUCGCCGUUUGUACUUCUUUUUGUUCUGCAGAGAGUCGGCAAGAUUACCUGAGAUGAUAUAUAUUUAAAAUUGUUACUUGAAUUUGAGUAGAGACACUUGUUUAGGAAAAGGUUUUGUUAGGAAAAGUUGAAUUACAGUCGUCACUGCAUCAGAGUGUUGAAUCCAAUAUGAGGGUAUAUCAGUGCCCCACUGAAGCAACGAAUUCAUUGCUUGUGUCUGUUUUGAAUAAGGGCCGCGAUGCAAUUUAUGAUGACAAAAUGUCGUGGGAGCCAUUCGUAGAUCAGACCACAUACAUGAUCCGAAGCUGUAUUGAGGCUAGACCAAAUGAGCUGAAGUGUAAAUCAUUUUUGCAUUCCAUGAUUUACACUUAAACGGUUACUCGAUGUCAUGGUGCUUGGGUCAGGUUUUGGUCUUUGAAGGAUAAGAAUGAUCAUCUAUGGUCCUUUGCAUGAAGUGAUCCACCGGCAAGUUCUAGGAGCAAACUAUUGCACACCUGUCGCAACUACUAGAUUGGGUUUCUUAACGUGGGGAGAUCGCAUUUAGCAACUGGGUAUCAUGUAUUUUGAAACAGUUCUGAGGCGAAACUAUUUCUAUACUAUAUUUCAAAGGCUCUUCAAAGUCUAAACCGUCAUUCCGCAGUAGUGGAAGUGUUGGAUGAAUUCUAAUAUCUCCCGAUGUGGAUAUUGCAUAUUUUUAGGUCCCUGGUACUUGACACAUUCUCUGCACAAUUCUGACUUCCUGUGAUAAAGUUAAGGGACUCAAUGUUACUUGAUGUUUCGCAUGCUGCAGCUAGUUUGUAGCUGCUUCUUCAAUAGUUGAUUUCUGGAUACUAUAUCACUACUCUCUAGAACCCAAAGCAUGUAAAUUACAAUGCUAUCACAGUCUUUCAUGAAAACUAUAACGACAAGAACACGUUGUAUCCUUUAUGAAAUUCGAGUGGUGUACUUUCUAAGGAACCAUGUUAUACAACUGCCACUGCUAAUCCUGUUGUUAGCAGCGUGUCCACUUCGGUUUGGAACUUGAUACACACUCCUCCGCGAGUCUGCGCUCUCGAAUCCGGAAAGCUUCCUCCCUCAGCAAGGCCGCGUAUUGGGUGCCUAUGCAGUGCCUCUUGCGAUCGGGGGAAGGGGGCCUGCAGUUGACAUCCUUGGAGCAGAUGAUCUGAGGUGGGCUUGGACAUGGCUUCGGGUGUAAGUUAAUGCUCACAGGAUUGCCACCUUUGUUACAGCUGUUGUUGAUUCGCAAGCCAUUGGGGGUGGGGUUCGCGUUUAACCCGGCUUGGAUUUCUUUUUUGUCUCCAGGCUUGCCUUGGCUGGGCAUGAGAGGUUGGAACUUCGACUGGUUCUCGAAUGUAACAUGGUUCGGUUCAUUCUGGCGAUGUUGCUUGAUUGCUUUCCGGUUGCUUGAUGUGAGACUUCGGUAGUAUGGGCCACAGUUACCGCCACCCCUAAAGCGUGAUAUAUUGUUGGUGGUGCGCGGGAUGCAUUCUCUCACCUCACUACCACGAGAUAUGCCACUUUCCCUCCCACGAGACUGUCUAAAUGCAUUUGAGUUUUGUUUCCUCUGGUAGUGUAUGAGGCCCACCAGCUGGUUUCGUGCAUCAGUGAGAGCGUGUGCCAACGACGAUACAACGUCCCAAAUGUUGCCCAGUUGUUGAUCCUUGUUAUCGUUUCUUCUCUUCAUCCCCUGCAUCAUCGGCACACGAAACUAUGUGUCAGCAGUUGGUUGACUAGGGUUUCUCAACUUUCGAUAACCAUAAGCCAUCACGUUGCAGCGUCGUUACCUCUUCGUGAAGAUCAGUCUCAUGAGAUAAGAAAUGGUCAAAGAAGUGGUCUCAAGUAGUCAGCCGAACCAUUCCUCAGCCACUAACUUCUGGGAAUAAACUGCUCAAAGCAUAAGUCAAAGGCGUGACCAAGCUUUUGAACCUUUGGUCCUUCGCAAUUAGUGGCCGAGUAUUUUGACAUAAAAAUAAGCUCUCAAGUCAAAAUCAGAUAUUUUGUGAGAAAACAAAGGUAUCUGAUAAGCGAAGCUAUUUGGCGAAUUUGAAUCUUUAAAUGGGAAGAGUAUUACCACCUUCGCCUGGGCCCUUCACAACGCCACGAUAGGAGAGUCGUAUACAAGUUCGUAGGAUUCUAUGAAUGUGAAGUUCAUCUCUUUGCGAGAAGAUGUUGAAUGGUGACUUUCGUUGCAACUUCCUCAGAGGAGCACAUUCAGUGAGUUUACAUCGGUGUCGCAGGAGGAUAUACAGUAACGAGAAAUGUGAGCAGUAAUCAAAACAAUUAGGUUUGCUCGAAUAAAACAGAAGAAAUGUGAAUAACGGUAUAUUGGGAUUCUGUUAAUCCCAAUAUUCGAAUAGCCAUAGCGAACAUGUGGGACAGAUGUUGCUCAGAGGGCCAUUUCACACUGCAAAAACUGCGUCAUCAACUACGAUGCGGCAGAUUGAGCAUCAGUGAAGGACAUAAUCAGCUGGGACAAUUACCUGCAAAGAAGCGUUGCGCAUCAUCAAUAUUGCUGCAAUCGUGCACAAGUCCUGGACCUUCACCAACUUUGCAAUUCAAGUGGAGAGCUCACAAGGAUGAAACAAAGCGCCACAAAGACGGAGUUGGAAUCAAAUCAACCAUGUGAAAUAAAAACACGUUUCACUCCUCUCCUCUCAUCAAGACAUCUACCAUGGAUCCAGUUUAUCCACCACACUCAACUCAUUGCAAAUUUGCCAGAGCAUUUUUCCUUUUUCACAUAGGAAUUUCCCAAAAGAUAAAGAUUCCACGCCUUACAACAUUACGAUGCAGGUCUUAUGGAUUGCCUCGUCCAGGUUCUUGCCGAACAUACAGGCAGAUCGAAGGAAGAGGUAGAACAAUAAACACGCAGCCUCUCUUGUAUCGAUUCCUACUUUCUGGCAUCUUGCUAAACAUCUCAAGCUCUAAAUAACUAUGUUACCAUGCUCGGCAUAGAAUAGAGUCGGUAACGUAGACAAACCUCCACAUCACCUCCAGUCUAGGUUUGCAUUGAAGCACCCAGAGUUUGAAUUACAUUCGAGGUGACAGACCCUAAUAAGCAUCCUGAUUGUUGUCUGUAAAAACGACAUACCUGACUGCAAGUAAACGAGAGAGGAAGUUACCUGUGACGACGGCUACUUAGUGUGACCCAGCAGCUGCAGAGCACCCUCAAGAGCCCGGAACCCCAAGCGUUGAGGUAGGGCUAGGAAAACAAGCCUGAGGGGUAGAGAUGAAUGGAAAGUAAGAGAGGGAGAAGAAGGCCUCAAGCGCCAAAACUGGGUUUCUUCCCUGCAGCGGUGCGUCCCUUCCCUUUCAAACGACAACAUCGUUGUUGGACUCUUGGGUCCUAGCCUGCAGCUCCAACUCUCUCACUCUUCCACUACAAAUUUAAUAUGGAAUAUUAGCAAUGUAUUGGACAAAUACCUCAGUAAAGUGUUACAUCGGUUACUAAGAAACGUUAGAGCCAGUGAAAAUUAGAUACUGCCAGGGAAUCUGGUAUCUGCAUUGUCAUUGAGCACUCUCUCCAGUGUCACAUCUUUAACAUUGCGUGUAGACAACAAAAUGCUGCUUCUCCUCAACACGAAUUCGUCUCUUCUACAUUGUUUAAAUGUUGACAACAGAUUUUCGCAAAAUCAACCUCAAGCACUAUCUGAUCUCUGUGUACCGACACCACACAUGAGUUGACAUGGACGAAGCGUCGGAUGCAAAACCCACGACAGGUCAUUGACAAUUUGGCGUUGAUAUUCUGCCGUUAGGCUUGUGAUGUGCAACUGGUCCAUAUCCUAAUGCCAGAUGCAAGGAUUCUGUCAGAGAGGGUGAAGCGGGAAGCUAUGGCGAUGCUAAACUACGCAGGCAGAAGCUGAGCAAUUUGGGGAGAGGCGAAGCGGGGAGGAGGAUUAUGGCGAGGGGAUGACAGUGAGGAAUUCAGCGAGGGAUUGUCAGAGAGAAGGCAGCAUGAAUGGUAAUAGUGACUGGAGAUCGUUAUCUGGAGCUGCUGGCUCUGCUUUAUCGAGCAGCAGGUUGGGAAUCUGCUCAAGCUCAACCCCGUGGGAUUAUGCUACAUGCAGACGCGACUUGAGGCGCUGCAGGAGCUAGAGCAGUUGCGCAGCGAGGCGCCCGUUGAUUACCUGCGCGCCUUCGUGGCUGAUUUGGGCGACCACCGCUCGCUGGAGAAGCUCAGGCGCGUGUAGCGGCUUCUGGGGAGCCUGCGAGUCGUAGCGAUGCUGCCGUCGCCCUCACGCGACCCCACCCCCAUCACCCUGCUCCCGUUUGCGAGGUUGAAGAGCCUGCAGCUUUGAGGAUGUGACUUGUCCACUUCGGCUGCGCGAGGGCUUCUCGAAUUGCAGCCUAUUCUAGAGAAGCUCAUAUGUCACAAUUCCGCCGUAAGUAUUUCGUUUGAACAAUCGAGCAAUUCGUGGAUUAGUUCUGCCCUAGUGAAGGAUUGUUCUGCCCUAGUGAAGAAUUGAACGAUUUUUUUGUGCUCCUUUUCAUUAUUUUCUUCCUCAUUUUAGGGUAACACUUGGUUGGCGAGUGUGGAAGGAUGGAGUAGGUGGUGAACUUUAGGUGUUGAGUGCUUUGUUGAAUCAAGGUGCCCAAACUUUCGAGUGGAAUGCCCUGAUUUAUAAUCCAUGCAUCUGUCCGUCAAUUGUGAAAGCUCAAAAGUACGUAGCAUCAAAAAGGACAAGACAUUAGUCUUUGAGAUUCUGUCUCGAUUGCGUUAUGAUUUUGUGGUCUGUGGACAUUGUGGCAUGCAGAAUGCGUGACGGCAUAUUCUCGCGGAGCAAACUGUCGAGAUUAAUGUCUAGGAUGAAGUGGAUCAGGUUGGCAGCUGUAGCAUGUCCUUGCAAUGGGUUGUCCCUGAUGGAUGAAUCCUUGCAGCUUCUACCUGUCCAAGAUGCUCUUGAUCUUAGCAGAAACAAUUUCGCAAAAGUAGCCAAUCUUCAAAGUUGAACCGGGCUCAAGUUCCUUAACCUUGGAUUUAAUCGCAUUCCAUCUGUGUCUUCAUUUAGCCAGGCAUGUUGGACUUUCUCUUUCAUUAUUUUUAAGUUGAUCAUUUUUUAUUUGAUUUAUGGUUAGUUUUAAAGAACAGAAACAGUAGUGUUGUAAGUUAAAUACCUCUCGAGCAUUUUCCUGCCUCAUAGAUAGUACUUCUAGGUCAUGCAUUGCAGCAUGUUUUUACAGGAGAAGCCAUAUUGCUCAUCAGAUGAACUGUUUGAAGUGAGUUCAUCCACCUACUUCUUGAUGCCUAAGUUGGAGAAUGUAAUCCAUGCAGGUAGUGUGUCCUAUCACCAAGCUAGACUUAAGAAACAAUGCGCUAGUCUCAACACAAGGAAUAGAGGCGCUUCGUUCUCUUGAAACUCUUGACCUUCCUCAUAAUUUAAUUUCCAACUUGCAUGAGGUGGACUCUUGGCUUCCUGCCUGCACUUCAGGCGUUGUGGUUGAAUGGCAACCCUAUUUGUGUCAGCUCACAUUAUCGUCAAUAGGUUUUCAGCUAUUUCAAUGACCCUAGUAAGGGACGCGUUCGUACAUAGUGAACUUGUAGGGGUCUACAUUGCAGCUCUAACUUGAUCCGUUUGUGAGUGUCGUCUGAUUUGUCCUUUACCUUCAUGGGUAAAAUUAGACUUUGAAACUCUGUUCCGCUCGCCUUGAUGAAGGAGAAUAUGCAGUUGUACAACCUGCGUUUCGUUCUGUCUACGUAUAGAUUGGUAAGAAUUUGUAUAGUUAUUUAUGAAAUUUGAUUGUAUCACUCACCUUAAGCAACUAUAGCUGAGUGGUAAUAUUUUAUUUACCAAAGGUCUCAUUACCAAUCCUCUCUGCAAUGCGAUGGACCUUGAAGUUGCUAUUUUGUGGCCUGUGUACCUCGGAUAAUCUGUGUAGCUCACUGUGGCAUGCUGAAUAACAGAAAGAGACCUCACGACUGGCAUCAAUCGAUGAUCGCACGGGUGGGUUCAAGCUAGUUGGAGCCGUUGACAGUGUUCAACAGGAUGUGCAAGCAGCCUGUUCAGUGCCUGAAACUGCUCCGUCAGGAUAAGAAGUGUAAGAGGUGGAUUCUGAGGUAGCCCAGCUGAUGCAACAAAUUGAAAUCAUGAAAAAGGACGGCUCCGAGCAUCUGGCUGGAAGACCUGGUUGGAUUCCGGUAGUGCGAAGCUCACAUCCCAAGUUGUGAUGGCAAAAUUAUAGGUAACAGUAGUAGCGGGAGUUGGUCGCAACGGAGGAGGCGAGGCAAGGAAGAUGCUAGAAGAAGGUUAGAGAAUUCAGCCAUUCCUACAGACCUUCGAGAAGCUGAACAUGGACUCGAGUCCAUAGCAAGAUCUGGUAUUGAGGAUAAGCCACUCUUUAUCAAGAGUGGUAUGAGUUCAUGGCAAGCAAGAGAGGAUAACAAUGAUGAAUUACCAGCGUCACCCCCGCAUUAUGAUAGUGCCGUUAUGCAUAGACGUCAAAGAUUUGUGAAUGAGACGCUUCGCUUGCCACUUGAUUCGUCUGCAACAUCGAGUGAUAGUGAUAGCGAUUUGCAUAAUGAUCGUCAACAAGAUCCAGUAUCAGACGGGACUAACAGUGACCCAAAUAGCCCAUCUUCGAUGACGGACAAGAGAAAUAAUUUUCAAAAACUUAAGUCUCAAUCUUAUGAAAACCCCUUAAGUGGGAUAAAGUUCAUCGAGGUUAGUGAUGAAGGGGCUAAAACCAGCUCCCUUCUGUACUCUGGUAAAAGCGAGAGGCGGGUUCGAGGGACUCUCAAUUUGGCACAAGAACCAGGUUCGACAGAGCCCUCUCCACUAAAGGACGGUGUGAAGACUGCUUGUGGAGAUGCUUGUCGCAGGCGAAAGCAGAAGAAAACACGCCGCACCAUGGCUCUAGAUUCAGAAAAACUAGUUGGUUUAAGGAUCUAGAUGAGAAGAAACUAGUUGGUUCAAGGAGUUUCCUGCUUGGCAGAAAUAGGCAAUAAUCAGACAUUGUAUCUGAACUUGGGGCUCCUUCACCUUCUGCUAAAAAUUUAUCCCACUUAUUUACGAGGAACAGAUUGUUCACUUCUAAUGCUAAUCCUUCUGCUGUUACUAGAUUGGCAAGGUAGGGCCUUCACAAGCCAAGUUGUGGAAUUCGCCAGCGACCUUGGUAAUAUGAAAACCUUGCUGAGAAGCAGUGACAUUUAGAGUAGACUUUUGUAGAUUAGAAACAGAAAAUAUGCAAAGAUGUGAAAAUUCUUUUGACAAGUAAAGCCGUGUUAGUUAUCAUUUUUCUAGCAGUGUGCAUCGAUUUACGUGAUGCUUACACAUUGUGCAUUUCGAAGGUCAGUUGUAUAUCCUAUGUAAUUUCAUAAGCCAUACACCCCUUGGCACAUAGAAUCACAUUGGAAUCUUCUAUUUCGAACAACCUUACAUUCUGCAACUUCUUGAUUUUGCCAUGUUCAAGGAUGAUAAAGCAUAUCCAUGUGAGUAUCUCCAUACCCUCUGCCAGUUUUAUCAUCAUCAUGACUUGACCAAAUGCUUUCUUCAACGACUUGAUGAACUACAAAAACUAAGCAGAGACUUGUGAGGUGUUUCCAUAGGAACCAAACCGCCCAUGUUUCACUUUUCGUGAACACUUUACUGCAAUUUCUGAAACAACCUCCCCAGAUGGACUUGCAGGAGCUAACUCUUCCUUCACUCCUUGAAAGCAGAAAGACAACAGCACCACGUGAAGAAUACUGAGUGCUGCUAUUUAGAAGCGUCACGAGAUAUCAGUCGUACAUUCACUCAAGCACGCAACGAAUGUUUCGGGAAAGGAGAAAGGAAUGUGUCAAAAGUAAUAUGCCUCCUCAUGAUGUCCCCAUUCCACGCCUGCCUGUGACCUUCGUUUGAUUACAAACAUGGAUCAAUUACAUGCCACCACUCGGCAGAGAUGAAUACACCCAAAGGUAUAUUUGCUCAUUAAAAAAUUUGUAGCGAGGUGUGAGUAUCAUUUGAAAUCUCUAGAGGGCUACCAUCAAAGGAUUCUAACUUGUGGCAAUGUGCCACCGGCCCCCGUCACCUAAUCUUCCCGCUACCACAAGCUUUCCUCGACAAGGAGGAACUCCGGUUCUAUUGAUGUGGAGUAACAAAUAUGGUACAACUUGUUGGACCGGGCAAGCCACAACAGGGAUUGAUCACCAACACUAUGCCGAACCAUCCGCAGUUCAUGCUGAAAGUUGGUUCUCACAAACUAGGUGCGAAGGUCACGUGAUCUGCAACGCGUAAAAUUUUUCGUUAGGGUUUCCGUCAACAAGCAGCCCGGCCUUCUCUUCGGCAAUAGUGACAAUAGAGUUCAGUUCCAGCUUGAAUGGUGAGAGCUCGUCAUCGUCCGCGUCCAGAAUUGGGACAACCUUGUGACUCACAAGUUUGCUCAUCUCGCCUGCGGAAUUUUCAGAGCCCGUGAGUUUCUUCGCUCUCGAGCACUCCUCAAUCCAGUUGAUGCGCAACGUGAUGAACAAAAUGGCACAUGCGCAGCAGAUUUGCGCUGCAAGAAGCCCAUACCAAAGCCCUUGGAAUCCAAUCUUCAACCAAAAAGCGGAAAUUACAGCAACGGGGGUGCCCACCAUGUAGAAUGAAAUGAACAUGAUAAUGGCGGUAAUAGUGGGGCGAGCGCUGCCGCGCAGAAUUCCACACCCUGCCGUCUGCGGACAGUUUCCGAGCUCACAGAUGCCGACUAAGGGCAAGGCAGCGGCUGUCAAUGCGAGCACGCUUGUGUCAGCGGUGUAGAGAGUGCCCCAUUGGUUAUUAAAAACACUCGUCCAAAUUACACUGACAAUUGCAACGAGAAAUGCAGUCGCCAGUGCCACCAGGCUCGCAUUUCUGGCUUGCUGGGGUCGGUUGGCUCCAAGCUCGUUGCCAACACGGGUAGAGACGGCUGACCCUAGUGACAUGGGAAUAGUGUACAUGAGCGCGGUGGUCUGAAUCAGAAUUGCCGUCGCUGCAACCGCCACUUGUGGAUUCGAAAGAUACCCAGCUAAGAUGGUCAUGAUCUCAUACCACCACCAUUCUAGGCAAAUUUGCAGGCAGCUUGGCAGGGCGAGAGAUAGCACAGGCCACCACUCACGCACGCAUGCGGGCGAGACUCCGCCCCAAGUAUUCUUAAACGCCCCAGAGAAUUUCACGUACAGUAGCAUGAAAACAACAACAUUGAUAUUCGUCAUCGAAGCGGCAAUAGCUACUCCUGGCACUCCAAGGUGGAAGACAAACGUGAAAACAAUGCUGAGGGGGAUGUGGAGCACCACCCCGAGCGCGGAACAGUACAUCAUAGGAGUCUGAAAUCCGUGGCACCGGAAGUAAUUCCGCAGCGGCUGCAGAAAGCAAUUCGCCACGAGGUCAGGAAGCGAGUACCAGCAGUAGACGCUUGCUACCGAGGUGAUGCCCGCGUCUUGGCCCAGAAAGAGCAUGAUGGGUUCCAAAUUAACCCACAGCAUACCGAUGGGAAGGCAGGCGGUGAGCAGAAUGGCCACCGUGCGCUGGAGGGUCAGCCCUACAAGAUGCCAGUUCUUUGAGCCCACCGCUUGGCUGCAAAUCGGGUCCAUUCCGGACGCAAGCCCAUAGAGAACAGAGUAACCCGUGAUGUUAGUGAAACCGAUUGAGAGCGCACCCCCCGCUAGCUCCAGCCCGCCUAGUCGGCCCAGACAGAGAACGGACACCAUGAGCCUCGCGUACGCAAUUCCAUUAGCCACUGCGAGUGGACCGGCAAUUCGCAUCGAUUCCUUGAACUCUAGCACAACCUGUAGGGGAAACAGUAAUUGCGGAUUGAUCAUUAAGCCUCCAACUCCUAAGCUCAGAAUUGCACAAUAAAACAUCCAGACUCCUGGACGGACGCCAACAACUGAUCUUUAGUCAGGAGCCUACCUCUUGUGGAGAAGGCCAAGACUGGAGCGGACAUUCCCGCAUGUCGAUAUCCGACUCAUCGUCCGAAUUCAACGCAGGGUGAACCUGCAACGUGGUAUUGGCGAUACACAUGGUGCACUCCCUGGUGGAUAACAAGCUCUCGCUGGACACUUGACGCUCUAACCAGUCCACUUCAAGGUGAAUGCUUCAGUGAUUAGAAUUCAAACACAGCUUACGACGACGCUAACGCCGAUCUAACCCACAACUGCAAGCGGUCACCGGGUGAAUGAACUCACACACUCACUCUCACAGUCACUCGCUCACUCGGCUCAUUCGGCUCACACACUACUUGUAUUAAACGGCAACUGACAAUUUAAACAAGGGAUCGGAGGCGGGAGCACACGGAGGCACCCUCGGAUGCUAGGCAGACGACGGGCAACAACAAUCAUAGUGAACAGACCCGUGGCGGUGACAAAAGCCCACUCUGAAGCUCAACGGAGGCCGCAACUCCACCCCUACGUUCAACUUCCGAGCUGCAAACCAAAGACUGAACACCCACACUAUCAAACACUACGCCGGAGGCAGCAGCAGCAGCACAUGGAUGCUCUAAAGUACUAAACCUCACAAUAACUAGCCCCUUCCAGUCCACCUUGGUCUCCAACCACCAAAACUUUAAACUCAAGCACCAACUUCAAGCCCAACUAGAGGAUGCGACUACGUUGCCAGGGAGCAGCUAGCUGGGAAUGAAUCGAGAGCCUGCGAGCCAAUGUAACCUUACAACUGGACAUCAUUUGAGCAAGCAGCCACCAAGAGCGUAGUUGGUUGCUACCGCUGCUACUACAUAGCGCCGCCACACAAGUGGACUGGAACAAAGCACGAUCGCCAACCCAGGGCCCCACUGCAACGAUACCAGAAUCCCUGCUGAUCGAUCGAUCGAUCGAUCGAUCAUCCGAUCGCGAGCAGUAUUCGCAAGAUUAGCAAAUGGGAUCUGUCUGUCUACCUAUCUAUCUGCGAAAGGAGACGAGUCCCCAGCUUGCGAUGUAAAGUUGACUCGAAGGCUUACAGAAAGCCGCCACAGUGUAAUAUAUUCCAGCAGCGGCUCCCCCCACCCUCUUCAUACUUCGAUGCAGUAAAGCCAGUCACACACUCACUGACUGCACUGACUGUCUCACUGACACUGGUGCUGCACUAGAAUCCCUCCUCCUCGUUGCACCAUAGUAACCCAAAUCCACCUACUUCUAGACUCUCUGUUGCAACUUGAAUAGGCUGCAAAUCUAUCCCACUGAUUCUCGGUGUGUUUGCACACAAACACACAGCUCAACACUAGAGCGGAAAAAGCAUUGAUCCACACUCGCAAUUCACACUCUGGACGCAUCCGCGUCACUUCCCUUUCUCGCAACCUGCCGUUGCGUCGCGGCGGUGGCCUGAAGAUAAGGUCCCGGUUCACCUUCUGUUGCCGGUCGCCGAGACGCCCUGUCACCGUCCGUUGUCGGUAACUGCCUUGCCCUGCCUUGCCCUGCCCUGCUCCCGUUACAUGCUGUGUGCGGUGACGGAGAUGCACUAGUCACCGGAUGUUUCCGGUGACGCUUGACCCCGUUUUGAUGAAGGUGGUUUAGUAGAGAGUAGGGAGUAGCUUAUUUUUAAAACCCCUUUGGGGAGAGUUUAUUAGUUUUAUGAUGCUUCCGACAUGCUCGAGGAGACAGUGAGAUAAUUGAUAAGAUUUGCAAGCUGGGUGUGUGGAUAUAUAUAUAUAUAUACAUACUUAUAAAUGAAUGGUUGUUGUUGAUACUGUUGAAGGAUUUAGAACUGAUUUGAUACAUGUAAUUAUUCCAGUUUCAAAUCAAUGCUUGAUCACGAGCAUAGGUAGAGAGAGAGCUUCAGGAUUUUAAAACUUAUUGAGUACCUGCAAUCCAUGGUAACGUUUUUUAAAUGAGGUACUGUGAUUUGGAUUUGUGUACACAAAAGAUAUAAUUUGAAGUAUCAAACAAGUUUGUGUGUGUGUGUGACUUUAUGUCUUUGUUUAGAUAUAUACACAAUUCCUUUUAUAAAUAUUAUAUUCUUAAAAGUGUGUAUGGAACAGCCUUUUAACAGAUCAGUGUCUACUGCUUCAUUUCACAUAUUUAUGAAGAAUUGAUUUGAAAUUGGGGUCAUUGUAGUGAUGAAGUGUUUGCUUUAAUCUUAAAACCUUCAGGUUUAUUAUUGAUUACAGUUGUUGGAUGUGUGUGCUUCCAACCCAUGCGUGUGGAACAUUUGUAUUUAUUUAUUUGACAUUAAAGACAGAAAAAUCACAACGUAAAUAAUACAAAAAUAUGGGUUUUAUUUUUAUUUUUAGAAAGGUGGCAAGAAGCUGCAACUUUCAGAGUUGGUAAUUAGCUGGCCUCGUUUUUAGGAAAAUCAACCAAAAUUUUAUAAGAGGAAAAAUAAGGUGAAAUUAAUUUUUAUGGGUAUAUAUAUCUAUAUAUAUAUCUACAUAUAUAUAUAUUUCUAUAUAUAUCUAUAUAUAUAUAUACAUAUAUGCCAUGAACAGUGUCAUCUUCUAAAAUUUGCAUAAUGCUUUCAUGAAGAGCUGGUUUACAAAAAAAAUGAGAAGUUGUGUUUAAAUUUGCUAAACAUGUGUAAAAAAGUAAAUGGUUUUUUAUUUUUAUCUUUUACAAUUACCAAACUAUAUAUUAAAAAAAAUAUAUUAUUUUUAUACUUAAAAUUGUAACAAGAAAAUGAAUUGAUGUAUUUUAUGACAUCUUUUUACUUCAUACUAUUUUAAAAGCCAAGGUUUAUAAACAAUACCAUUUUUCAGACCAAACAUGGACCCUGAACUUUCUAAAGGAAAUUUUUAGUUAUAAAAACCCAUUUGCAUGUGUAUGCAUACAUUCCAUGUGUGUUGAAUACACACACACAUACACACACAUACCUAUUACAUAUAUAUAUAUAAAUAAAUAAAUAAAAUUGACCCCCCCCCUUUGUGUGUUUGUGUUGGUCAUGCCACCUGGUGCUGAUGUGGAGGCAAUGGAUGAAUGUGGCUGGUGUGGCCUCCAAAUUUCCUUCUUCUAGCAUACACAUUCAUCCAAUAGGGACAGAACAUAUUUUGUACUCUGCAGAUUGGAUUUUACUUCCACGGAGAGUUUCAUUUUGGAGCUCGAUGGAAUCCAAUCCAAUGGAUCCAGUUCCAGAAGAUUGGAAAGAGUUAUCAGAGAAGGAAAAACAUUAAAAAUAAACAAUUGAUUAAUUAAAAUUAAAACUUUCGAAAUCAUUUAAGAAAUUGCAUUUAAUAUUAUUUAGAAAAAUAUCCGAACUGAUUUUUUUGACAAAAUUAAACACUGAUGAGAGUCAAAUCAUGUGUGGCCAGGUAUAUCUUCACUGGAAAUAACCCAACAAAGCUCGGAACCUAUUCAUUCAUAAUGGCCACUUUUUUGGGGGGUUUUUUUUAGGGUUGUUUGUUGCAUUUAUUCUUAACUGCUUAUGCAGACAAUUCCAAUCGAUGAAGAUAUUGCGUUAUCUUUUUUCUCAGAAUGGAAGCCUAUAAUUUUGCAGUCAUCCAUGGUUGUUGAUUUGUUUAAAUUUAAAAAAAAAAAAAAAAAAAAAAAAAAAAAUUGUUUCUAAGUUUUUAUUUUUUUAUUUUUUUUAUAUAUUUAUGUCAGGUGGUAAUUUGGUAAAGUUGAUUGAUUUCUACAAGAAAGAGUUAACAUAGCUCAUUUAUAUGAACCAUGGUGAAUUAAAAAAAAUAAUCUAGUCUUUUGGAAAAAACAGACUUUCAAAAAACAAGCAAUAUACACAAAUUCUGAGAUCAAUUUUUGUUUAAAUACAGGGGGGUAAAAGUAAUAUAGCAUUGAAAUCACCAUGGAAUACCUUAUGUAGUUUUUAUAAUAGAACUUGGAUACAAAAUAAGGAGAUUUAGGGAUUGAAGGUGGAGUAGUUGACAUCACAAAAAUCCCUAUAGAAAUGGGCUUUUCUUAGAUAAGAUGGUGGUGUAGCUUUAAAAAAUGAAUUGCAUUUGAAACAACACAAUAUUAGUUCUGGGAAUAGCAUGAAUACAAGAAAAUUAUAAAAUAUAUGAUAUUACACUUCCAGGAAUUGAAUCAUUGUUUGAUGUUUGAUAAACAAUUACAUGUUGCAAGUAGUGCAAAGUAUUAGAGGAUGAAGUAUCAAGACCUUUUAGAGGGAACUCAAUAGGAUUUAUGUUUUAAAUUACUAAAAACAUUACAAGCUUGAAAUGCACCUUAGUCUAGCUCACUUAAUUAAUGAAACAAUUCUCAACGUUGUAUUCAUAACCAUUCUUCUUACCCAUCUAUUCAUUAAAAAAAAAAAAAAAAAAAAAAAAAAAAACUCUUUAAUCUUUGGUAAGUGAAGGCACUUAUGAAUAAUAUAUUUAUCAUCAAUAUAACUUUAAUGUAAAAUCCAGUACAAGCAAUUCAACAUUGAAUUUAAAAUACAAGUAUAUAUAUUUUUAUACUGUAAACACAAUGGCAAAACACUCACAUGCGUUGUUGGAAUCCCCUCACUCACUCACACACACUCACUCUUGUGCUGCAAGGGGAGUCCCUCUUAUGGUCUAAGGAAGCGUCGGAGGACUGCGAUGGAGGACUCGUCAAGAGACGGCGAUGAACCGGAAAAAGUGGGAGCGACGAGCGGGGAAUUUGCUCGCGAUGGAGGAGAAGGGGAUUUGCAAAAUGGGGGGUUGGUUAAGGGUUACGAAGUACUUAUGAGUCGAGUUGCAGCGACGGAGAGCGUGGGAACAACAACAACAGCAACAACAACACCGAGAUGAGAUGAGAUCCUGCGAGACUCAAACUGCAACAAACAAACUGGCGGCAUACCGAACAGGGCCCACAACCGACACCCACCACCACCACAAAGACGACGAUGCACCCAUUUGCUAUGAUCCUUCCUGGCUGGACAUGCGGGACUCGCAGCCAUGCGGCGGAAUGCACCAUUCAUGCAUUCAUUCGUUCAUUCAUUCAUGAGGCGACAUUUUUUUCUUGUUUGAGUGGAUCCGGCGGCUCUUGCUUCCUUUCUCCAACCCAAGCAAGCAAGGCGUCGUUCCUCAUGCCGCGUUGAAACCGUGGCUGACCGCGUGGAAUGGGCUUCAGUUCCUGAUUAGCCAUCAGCUUUAACUCUCUUUCCCUUUUCUCCUCCUGCGCCGUUGCCGGUCUGGGUCCGCUCUGCUGCUCCUUCUGAUCAUUCCGCAAUCAUCAAUGCUCAUCAGCGAGGCUCCAUGCUUCUGCUGCUGCUGCUACUACAUUCUAAUUCCUAACACUUGGGGUCCCCUCCUAGCGUGAAUUUAUCUAAUGGUGCGGGGUUUAUAAUGGCACAGUGAUUGAUUGAUUGAUUGAUUGAGUGUGUAUUUGUGGGUGUGUAUGUGAGACUGAGUGCGGGCAUGGAUCGAUCGAUGCAUGGAAGACUGACCGGUCCCCAACUGGAUUGUGUCAGUUCUGGUGCUGUCCAAGUGAAUGUGCAGUGGAGAGCUUUAAUGGCGUGCCCCCUUUUUUAAAUAUAUUUAUAUAUACACUUAAUUCUUCAAAAAAGAAUCUAUUAGGAAAAGUGGAUGAUUUUUCUCAAAGAAAAGAAAAGAAGGAAAAAAAAAAAAAAAAAAAAAAAAAGUGUUUAAAACAUUCAUUAGUAGUGGGCAUAGGAGAGCAAGAGAGAGAAAAAUAAAUGUUGAAUAAAAUAAACUACAAAAAUUAGAGCAAAGUGUUGGUUUUGGUAUAGGAUCUUUUUGGCAUAGGGUUCAAUUGAACCUUGCCAUCUUGACCAGGCAAUGGACCUUGGUUUCUAAAGAUUAAUUGUUGAGGUUAAUAGAAAGUCACUUUAUAACAUGUUUUUUAAAUUUUUGAAUUAAAAAUGCAACACAAAGUAAUUAAGUCUAUCAUGAGGUAAUAACACUGUAAAGUGUACAUAUAUAUAUAUAUAUAUAUAUAUAUGUAGAUUCAUAUAUGUACGAUUGGCUAUGGCAACUUAAAACAUUGGUCACAUUAAACCAAUUACAGAAAUGUUAAAAUUUAUCUUUUUUAUAUUUAGCAAAAAAUAAAAAAAAUAAAAAUACUGCUAAUUAUGUUGAUUUAAAAAAUAAUAAUAAUCAAAUUUUGAUGAUAAUGUUUGGACAUGUAAGAUUCUUUAAACUCAAGCCUACAUAAAUUUAUUUGAUUUCUUUUCAAAAUGAGGUUUUGUGAUUUAUAACCAAAAAACAUCUUCUCAUGUAAAAUUUUGAAAAUAGAAUGCUUUACAGCGUGGAAU
RNAcentral lists this long non-coding RNA (63454 nucleotides) under Physcomitrium patens. Its description in RNAcentral is "long non-coding RNA (PPAT_LNC008855)". Lineage: Eukaryota; Viridiplantae; Streptophyta; Bryopsida; Funariales; Funariaceae. The record is from RNAcentral.